UAGAUAUUAGAUAUUAGAUAUUAGAUAUUAUUAAUAUAUAUAUAUAUAUAUAUAUAUAGAAUUAGGCUGGAAUAUUAUCAAUAGCACCAAGUUAUUGGUGCUAUUAGUUUUUUAGCCCUUAGAUUAAGAAAUGUGCGGUUAGGAUGAUGUGAGCCCCUUAGGAUUGAGUGGAUGGUUGGUUGAAUAGUAUAAUCUAACGGGUAAAAAUAAUUAAAGGAGUUAAUCUAACGGCAGAAAACUUGAUAGCACUAAGUGUUUGGUGCUAUCGAUAGCAUAGCAGCCGAACUCUAUAGAACUAUAUAUAUAUAUAUAUAUAUAUAUAUAUAUAUAUAUAUAUAUAUAUAGAGAGAGAGAGAGAGAGAGAGAGAGAGAGAGAGAGAGNUUCCACUUUGUUUUCGAUGUUCGGGAUUUCGAAUCGACGAUCGGUACCGUUAGAGUUGAUCUAGAGUAUUUGAAGUACCUAGAAAAUAAAUUUUGUGAUUUUUCGAUAUCAUUUGCCUAGUGAUCGAAGGGGCUCAAAAUCAAUAAUCGGAGCCUUCCGUGCUUCCAGGUCGUUUUUUCAUGUUGCGACUUUCGAAUUGUCGAUCGGCUCCAUUAGACUUAAUCUAGAGUACUUGAAGUAUCUAGAAAAUAAAUUUUGUGAUUUUUCGAUAUUAUUUGCCUAGUGAACGAAGGGGCUCAAAAUCAACGGCUAAAAUUAAAAAUCUUACAAAACAUGAUAAUAUGACAUUAAAAUUUUAUAUCAAAGAUAUGAAUCUUGUUUUAUAUAGUAUAAAGAAUUUUCUAUCAAAAUUUCACGUAAUUUGGAUAUUUCUACACCGUUAAACUUGCAAACAGCUCACUACGACCAUUAAAAUUAUUGAUUUUGAGCCUCUUCGGUCACUAGGCAAAUGAUAUUGAAAAAUUAUAAAAUUUAUUUUCUUGGUACUUCAAAUACUCUAGAUCAAGUUUAAUUGAGCCGAUCGACGAUUCGAAAGUCGCAACAUCGAAAACGAUCUGGAAGCACGGAAGGUUCCAUACUUCCAGAAACAUAGUAGCCUCGCAUUAUAUAUAUAUAUAUAUAUAUAUAUAUAUAGAAUUGAGCUUCUAUGCUUUUAAAAGUACCUAAGUCAUUGAUGCUUGUAAGUUUUUAGCCCUUGGAUUAAUAGAUGUGCGGUUAGGAUGAUGUGGGCCCCCUUGGGUUAAGUGGGUGGUUUGUUGAAUAAUAUAAUCUAACGGAUGAAAAUGAUCAAAAUCGUAGAUCUAACGGUAAAAAAUUCACAAGCACAAAGUGCUUGGUGCUUUUACAAGCACCAUAGCCGGACUCUAUAUAUAUAUAUAUAUAUAUAUAUAAUGAGUGGUUAAGAUGAAAGGGAAAAGAGUAAUUGGAGAGAAAUUGGAUUUCUCAAUUUCUCUUCUCUUUGAAUUUCUCUUCAAUAUCUCUUCUCUCAUUCACCCUACCCAUCCAUCAAAUUUGAUGGGCGGUUAAGAACUUAGGAGUACAAAAACUGCUGUGCUCCUAAUAGCACAGUAGCCCUACUCUAUAUAUAUGUAUAAGUAUUAAUGAGCUGAUCAGAAUCUAUACGUGAGAUCGCUCCAAAUUUGGAACGACUUAGACCAAAUCGGGCCAAGUUUUAAAAUUAGCCCCAACAUUUUCUCAUGAAUUGGGCUGGGCUCGCCCAACGCUUUUAAGAGACCUUUACAAUGUGUAUCAUCUCUUAUGUACAACGUGUGAAUAUAAUGACGACACUAACCAUUUAUCACGUACAAUAUAUAAAUCUUAAAACUUGUAAUAGCUGUAUACAUUGGAGAUCAUACUACUGUUUAGUAAAUUGUUGUUUGAAUAAUAUAUAAUAUAUUAGAAGAAGAAUCGUAUAAUGAAUCAUCACCAUCAUAUUUGCUUGGGCCGGACUUGGGCCAGGUUUUCAUGUCGAGCUGAGGCCGGAUUUGGAUAUGUCCAAAUAGGCCUAAAAUUUUUUCGCGCCUAAAGUUUUAAAUCUGGUCCAAAUCUAAAGUUAUGAUUUCUACAACUAAAGCCCGGGCGUUGCACGAUCUUUUGGGCUGGGCCUUGUUUAGGGCCAGGCCCAGUUCCAACCUAAUCAUAUUUUGUGAAUAUGAUAUUUAUCUAAUAUGAUGUAUAGAAUAUAGGACAAAGAUGGAGUGUUGGAGUAUUUUUAUCAACCGGUCAUAUAGGCCAGAGGGUCGUAUAGGUCUGAGUCCUAGUUAGUAAAUUCGCAAAUUAUUCGUGAAUUAUUCACAAAUUAUUGAAAAUCCGAAUUAAACGGUCCGUUUACGAAUUUUUCCGAAGGAAAGGGAAUUAUUCGCGAAUUUUGGGGCCAGCCGAAUUAUUCGCGAAUUAUUGAUGAAAUAUUAAAAAUAUGAAUAAAAAACUUAUAAUUUUAUUUUUAAAUAUAAAUUAUUUUAUAUUUUAUAUCUUAUAUUUUAUAUUUUAUAUCGAAUCCGUUUUUUAAGCCCAAUUUUUCAACGAAUUUAAAAAUUAAAAAAUAAAUUUUAUACGUAUUAUAUUCAUACUGAAUUUUUACCGAAUCCAAAUUAACUAACUAUGGUCUGAAUAAGGAGAAUUUGUUUGGGACGCAACAAACUCCUUUAACACCGUUUACAGCUGCAAAGUAUUCUCAACGUGAAAAUAUAGAAAUACAGCAUCGAUUCUCGAAUAAGGAAAAAAAAAAAAAAGGAUCGGCAGGGUCCCAAAUAAAGUGACUUAUUUAGAAAAAAGUUUUCUCUUUAUAAAAUUUAUCUGGUGUUUAGUAUUGCAUAGUUCCAGCGUGGAAGAACAAUUUGAUAAUUUGCGGUGACAAGUGGAACAAUUCCGGAUGUUAUCUCGUGUCUGGUACAGGAAAAAUUUUAGAAUGCAACGGGUAUAUUGGUGACGUGGCAUAAUAAAUCAAUCAAAUAUCUCUCUUUAAAAAUAUGUCCCAUCAUGAUUAUAAAAAAGUAUUUUUAUCGUAUUUUUGUUUGAAAAGAAGAAAGGUGAUUGAUUUGUUAUUGAUGAUGUAGUGCAGGUGUGAUAGUGUAGAAUUCCUCCUGGUACAGAGCAGGGCCUCUUUAUGAUAAUGUGCAAUUAAUGUGCAAUUAAUUAAUUUACGUUACGCGCCCCAUGUAAUUUGAGGGCUUAUUUCAAUAUGUGCUGUAGUCCAGAGGAUUUUCAUAUAUUUUUAUCUUUUCUACAAAAUAUUAAUAGUAAUUAAAAAAAAAAUCUAUCAACCAACGCCCAAUCGACAAACUGUAAUAUACGGAACGGGAAACAAACGGCAUAUUUUUUUAUUAUUAUUUUUCAUCACAUGUAACGCAAUGUUCCCGCAAUCUCAAACGCAGCCUAACUACUUCGGUGAGAACAAGCGACCCAUCGCACCGAUUUAAUCAAACGGACACGAUUGAACGAUCACGGAAGUUGGGAUCACCGGGCAGUGACGGCACACGGCUACGCACCAAAUUUAACCGGGGUUUAUAAUAGCCACAGGUGACAACUCAUAGCUCCGGUUAGUUCCGUUAUUGUUAACUAACGGUGACGGAAAUAUUUUGCCUCCGCAACCGUCAAUUGCGGGUCCCACCCCCUCGUCUAUACAUAGCGAAAGGUUAUUCACUCUGACGUUCAGUUUCUCACGGAGCUCUUCGUGGGAUAUUUCUUUUUGACUCUCUCUCUCCCUCCGUUCUGGAAAGGUGUCUUUUUCGAUUCCAGUACCUUCGAAUCGAAGACGAUCAAUUCGAAGGCGAUCUCAUCGUGCACGCUUUGAUCUGAUCCACUUCCUUGCGUAUACAGUGGUAAUUUUUAUCUAACUGAUGCGAUCUCUAGGGUUUACGCUCGUUCUCAUCGACGCGACUGUGAUUUGUAGUGUUUGAUUUGGAUUCCGAUGUAGCUUGUAUGUUUUUGGGUGGAUUUGGUGUCCUUUUCGUGGAUAGGUAUCUGUUUAUUGGUGAUUUAACUGGUUAUUUGCAGAGAUUCCGCUCUGAAUAUCGGUUUGAUGUGUGAUCUUAGGGUUUUUUGGCUUGAUCUUUGUGAUUUAGUUAGUUGCGUCGUGUUUUAUUUGGAUACCGAUGUGGUUUGCAUGAUUUUUGGGUGGAUUUUUUGUCUUUUUCGUGGAUAGUUGUCUGUUUAUUAGUGAUUUAAUUAGUUUUGUGGAGAGAUUCAGAUCUGAAUAUCCGUUUGAUGUGUGAUAGUAGUUCUUUUGCUUGAUCUAUUUGUUUUGGUUAGUCGCGUCGUUUUGGGUGGAUUUUGUGUGCAUUUUCUGUGUUUGCUGGUGAUUUAGACUGGCUUUGUUGAGAGAAUUAGCUUCGAACAUUGGUUUGAUGUGAUUUUAGUUAUUUAGCUUCCGAUAUCUGUGUUUUAGUUACUGUUUGUUGCUUUUUAUGCGAUUAUGUUAGUUCGGCUGUAAUCCCAUGGUUGAUCAUUGUUUUCAGUGCUUUCCCUUUGGUACUGCUUUAAUUUAUUGAGCUAUUUGUGUACCCUAAGGUUUGCUUUACUCUUUGAUUUUGUGUCUAUGAUGUUUAUUUUUUGCGUUCCUGAUUGUGUUUGAUUUCGAGGUGCAGUGCCAUGGCUCACUAUUUGAAUGACGAUUUAGAAUUUGUUAAUGACGACUACUUUGAUUUUGUCGAGUUCGAUGAUGAAGGCUUCGAGAUUGACUAUGAAGAGGAAGGCCAUGAUGCCGACCUGGAUGGCCUUGGUAGUCCGGUAUGGCUUCAACCUGAUGUAUUUCUUAGCGAGUUAUUAUCGAUUUUCGGACCUUGCAAAGUUUCAUCUUGUUUCUGUAAUUGUUCAGAGUGCACAAAAGAAUGAUACAACGGCUUUUGAGUAUAGAAAUGGGAAAGAUAUGCAAGGGAUACUGUGGGAGGGGUUGAAUCAUACCAGGGAUGAGUAUCGUGAAAUGAGGCUGAAGCAGUAUAGGAAUUAUGAGAACCUUUCAAGACCACAUGAUUCAUUGCAGAAGGUUAGUGCAUCUAUGAGAGGUUACAAGGAUUUAAGUGCCGUGGCACGGGGUUGUGCCGGAAAUUUGCCGGCACGGUACGGCACGGUGCGUGCCAAGCCGUGCCGAUGCGUGCCGGUCAAAAAAUUUUUGUGUGCUGCCACAUAACAGCAUGAAAUAUUUAUUUUCUUUAGCAACAAAAUAUUCUAACUAUUUAUUAAGUCUUUUUAUCACAUCUUUUGAACUUUAUUGAGGAAAUUACUUAUUAAUUUAAAAAAUAGAGGGUUUUGAGCUGUGCCAUUGGCACGGGGUCUGUAUUGUACAGGUAUCUUGUUGGCACGGUACGGCAUGGUGGAUAUGGUCCGUGCCGACGGGCACUUAAAACCUUGAGAGGCUAUACUGUGCUUGACCCUGGCAUUGGUUGUUUGCUUGUUACUAAAUCUGCUAUUUCUCCUGCAUUUAGGAAUGCAAACAAGUUGAGAGGAAAAGCACAUUCUAUGAUUUUCAGUUCAAUACGAGGCUUGUGAAAUCGACCAUUGCGCACUUUCAGGUACUGAUCUUCUUCAGUUGCUUUUUCCAUUAUAUUUUUAAUGGAGCAUUGCUUUUGUUGCCUCUUUGGGUACCGACUAGCCUUGCUGGUAAUUGUCUAGGAAUUUUAUCGUUAUUUCACUAUUGAGCAUAUCUAAUUGUGAUUCACUGAUGGUUUUACCACCUCAUUAAGCUAAUCAGCAAUAGCUAUUUCCAUGCCUUUCUUACGUAACUUUACCAAUUACAUUCCCUCUCUGACAUAUAACACUCAAUACUUGAUAAAAAUUAGUCACAGAUGUAGAUUAGAAUAUUUGUGAAAUGUGCAUCGUAAUGUUUAAGGAUUAAGCAUUGUCCCCCUCCUUUUACAGUCAGAAAAAAAAAAGCCCUAGCUCUUGGGUAAAUCUUAAUUAAAUGGAUGUAAGACCAUGGCCUGUUAACAUUAGGCAUGUUCCAUGACUGACCUAUAUUCCCAGGAAAGAAGUACUUUUAGAGCACCAUAUCUACUAGGAUUGAGAUAAUUAUAUGGAUCUGCGACUGACUAACUAUUGAACAUAAAUCCUUUUUUUGGCCCCAAAACGACUCUAUUCUUUGUGCUAAGUCUUUCAGUUUUGCAGGUCCUCUUUAAUUGCUAUUAUUAGUACAUUUGAAUAUUAGAUAUAUUUAUGACAUAAUGAAGCUUUCAUAUCAUCAGACAUCAUUUUUGUUGCUAGGGAAGGUAAGCUACUCCCUAAUGCAAUAAUAAUUUUAUUUUAUUUUUUGUUUUCACAUAACUAGUAGUAGUGUUGAUUAACUUGUGCAGCAAGUAGAUAGCCAUUUUUCAUUUUGGUUAUUUGCUGGGGUGUGUGCAUGCUGAAGACACGUCUUCUUAAACUAAUAAACCAAACAAAUGCUAUUUAUUAUUGUUCCACUAACUUUUCAGUUUUGAACAGCUGGAUCUCAUGAGGUGUAAUAACAUCACUUGCUGAAAAGAUGUCAAUGUUAUAAUAUCUUCAGUAUAGAUGGCAAACUGCUCAAGAAGUAUUAGAAACUAUUUUAUUCUUUAUUUUCCUCAGAUGUUCUCUAUGAUUUCUAUGGUCUUCAAAGCUUGUUAUAUUAUUAUAGGCAUUAUUCUUCAGUAAACUUUUAAGUUGGCUCAUCCCCCCAUCCCCCCCGUUUGUGUGUCUCUUCUUUAGUUUUUCACUUUAGUUUUCAAUUUGUGCUUCUUUUUUUUUUCUUUUUUUUUUUUUUUUUUAAUCUUGUUUCUUUCCAUAAUCCAAUGGAUGCUGCCAUGUCUGAAUGUUGCCCACAUGUUCCCCCCCCAAUUCUUACUAUGCUUUUAAUUUAUUAAUUGGCAAUGAUACAGUUACCCACAUGUUUGCGCAACAAAUCUGCAUUUUCUCUACGUGCCUCUCUUAUUUCACAUUUUAGUAGAAUGUUAGUGAUAAGGGUGGACCUUCAUACGGGUGCCUCUUCCUUCAAGUUGUCAAGUGUCUUGUUUUUAUCUUUAAUUUUCCUGAAGUUUCAUUAUUAUUCUUUACUGCGUCCUUGAUAUGUGGGUAUUAUGUGCUGAAACAUAAUUACUGAGUGUAGACUCAUGUUCUCUCUUUGUUUUCAUUGCUUGCAGUUAUAGUGAUCGUGUUGUACUAGAUAGAUAGAUAGUUAUGUGAUUUGGCAAUUAACACAUCCUUUGAUACUAGGAGUGCAUCAUAUAACAUUUCUGUCAGGCACUAAAAGCAGGGUGGAAGUGCUUUCCCAGCAGCUGGCGUUAUGAGAGCACCUUUUCAAAAUGGUAUGAUAGGAUGUUCUAUGAUCAGUGAGCCUCUCUGUUAAAUAAGUGCCCAGUUUUUGUUAGCAAGCUUGGGCAUGAAAGGGGCUAACAAAAAUUUUCUUGCAGGAUUUUGUUCGUCAGGCAUUACAUAUGUUUUUGUUCUGAAAGUACAAAUAGGCUAUGCUUGUUUUCCAAUAAACUUGUUUAAUAUAUUAACUUAUUUGUCCCCUCUUUGAUGGCUGCUUUUUCUCAAAGUAGCUGUUUCUGUUUUUUCCUCUCUCUGUUAUUACUGUUAUUUCAUGUGUUGUACAGUGCCUUAUUUAUUGAUGUCAUUGUUGUUAACCGUGCUUUAAAUACUUCCAAAUAGAUGCUAAUUGAGGAAGGCCUAAGAAUGACUAGGGCGUAUGGAGUACCUAACUUAGUUUAAUACUGCACUUUGAUUGUGAUCUUCUACUUGCUUAUGUUGGAACUACAACUAGAAAACAUAACAGCAUCAUCUACAUGAGAUUAUAUCAGCAAUUAUAGAUGCUAGGGCAAGAAGUCAUCUAUGAGCUAUUCAUAACAUUUUCUUGGUGGACUUUCUUGUGCUCAAUGCUAUAUGUGUUAAGUUAUAUUUGCUAGUAUAUCUUCUUAUGGGACUGAGCUUCCAUUUCUUGUCCCACUAUCACAUCUUACAUUUGCUUGUAAAUUAUCUGAGCGAAGCAGAAUUUGUGUUUCUUUCUAAACGACGACAUACUUAGGAUGCAUCGUUUUGUAGUUUCGUUUAUAUAAAUUUUACCAGACUAGCAAAAUAUACUGCAAACAUAUUUAUAACAAAGCUGGGUUUGAGUGGCUUCUGCCUGGGGGUGGAUCUGUACUCAGUUGUGUUGAUCAAACAGAUCGAAGUUUGGUGAUAAUUUUGCUUGAAGCUUUAUCUCUGAGUGUAUUCAAGUUCAGUUAUGCGUCUUCUGCAUGUUCACUUUCUGUAGUGACCAAGGCCCUUGAUGAGCCUUAGAGGUGUUAAGUUUGGCUAUAGAGCUUCUGAAGGAAGGUCACAAAAGGUUCACGAACCAGUCUGCAAUACUCAGUGCAUAUUGGAAAACAUUACAUGUUGUACUAUAAAAUCGUUUUUCUCUUGGAUCUAACAGUUUUAUUCUCUGCUAAAAUGGAGAAUAAGAUUAUCUAUCUAUUAAGACAAGAAGUAAAAUAUCACGUGGAGCUAAGCUUUUAGUGCAUUCCUUGUCUUUAGUUUUGCACAUGGCACAUAAGAUUGCCCAUCAUAUGCAGGUGGGCUGCUUUCUGAUUUUAUCUGUCCCACACAGCUAAGAAAAUUAUGUGUUCAGACAUGAUAGGACCAGACUUUAUAGCAGGAACAGUGAGUGAUGACGAGUGCAUUAGAUUUGUGACUUUAGGGAGACCAUCAAUCUGACGCUGAAUUUAGGGAGAACAUCAAUGUGCGAUAUAAUGUGAUGACCAUGAAUGGCAGGAGAAAGAAAAAACUUCUUUCCUUUAGGUCAAUCAUAUGUUGCUAGUACUAUGAAGUGCUUUUUUUGCUGUAACCACAAGAUGAAUAUUGCCUUAUGCAUAUCAUUGUCUCCGAUGGCUAUAAGCAAGAGUUUGUAUUAUUUGCAGCUGAGGAACCUAUUGUGGGCUACAUCGAAGCAUGAUGUCUACAUGAUGCAGAAUUAUUCUAUCAUGCACUGGUCUUCGUUGCUUCGAAGAAGCAAAGAAGUGUUGAAUGUUGCUGGUCAAAUUGUCCCUACUCAGGUUUGCAACUAUUUGCUUUCUGAAAGCUUGAUACUAAUUACUUCAUCUCUUGAUCAACCUAGCGGUUCUUUACAGAAGCCUCGCGGGUCUUCUGCCCAAUCGUUAUCAAGGGUGCAGAUCAGUACAAUGGCCGUGAAAGACAAUUUCAUUGUGGCUGGUGGAUUCCAUGGUGAACUCAUCUGUAAGGUAUAUAAUUAGUAAUAGCUGUAGCAAGCAACUGGAAUGUUUUGCAUUAUGCUCUUGCGGAUCUCUCCAACUAUUGUCUCCAUCCUUCACCAGUAUAUUAAUCAACCUGGGGUGACCUUCUGCACUAAUGUAACGGACAGUGACAAUGCUAUCACCAAUGCGGUGGACAUUUACCAGCCUUCUAAGUAAGUCAUUUUCCGCACUAAUUAACUUGUUUCGAAGUUAUAUUAAACUUAGUUGCGAAAUGAUUAAACUUGUUUUUAACUUAUUAUUAUUAUUAUUUUUUACUCUGCUUGUCUUAGUGGCUCUAUGCGAGUGAUGACUGCCAACAAUGAUUGCCAUGUGAGGGUCUUUGACACUGAGAGAUAUGCCCUUUUGAAUCGUUUCUCCUUCCCCUGGUCUGUUAAUGUGAGUAUGUAGUUACUAGUAUCUUUGAGUUAUCAGAGUCCUUAAUUUGGUAUCUAACGUGAACCCUUUUGCAUCUUGCAGAAUGCAUCAUUUAGUCCCGAUGGCAAACUUUUUGCUGUUCUCGGAGAUACUACUGAUUGUCUAAUAGGCGAUCCUGUGUCUGGUAAAGUAAGUGAUCUUCCAUGUUAAACUUUUAGGACUCCUGCAAUAUAUCUCUGUGAAGUCACCAUUUUAUAUUCCUAUAGAUCCUUGAGAAUUAUGCAUCUCAAAGGUGCAUUAUCUUACCAAAAUUUUAUUUUAUUCAUGGGAAAGGUUGGUUUUUGCUACAAAACAUUCUGAGAGAGAGAGCGACUUUUGUAAGCAUGAGGGCAUAUAUCUGAGAAACCAAGUUUCUGAAUUGCAAAUAUGAAAAUUCAAAUCUACAGGACUUUAUACCACAAUAAACAAUUCAUAGGGGUACAUAUUUAGAUGUCUUUAAUCUGUUUAAUAUGGUUUCUUACUUAUUUUGGAACUCUAGGUGAUCGGAACCCUACAGGGUCAUUUAGAUUACUCUUUUGCAUCAGCUUGGCACCCAGAUGGCCGUAUUCUGGCCACGGGCAACCAAGACACUACAUGCCGCUUGUGGGAUAUAAGAAACUUAUCACAAUCCAUGGCCGUGCUCAAGGGGCGGAUGGGGGCGAUCAGAGGCCUGAAGUUCUCAUUGGACGGCAGGUUCAUGGCGAUGGCGGAGCCUGCAGAUUUUGUCCACAUAUAUGAAACUGCGGCUGAUUACAGCAGCGCCCAAGAGAUCGAUCUCUUCGGGGAGAUUGCUGGGAUAUCAUUCAGCCCGGAUGCGGAAUCUCUCUUUGUAGGGAUAGCCGACCGUACUUACGGGAGUUUACUUGAAUUCAGCCGGAGGCGUCGGUACGACUACCUGGAAUCCUUUCUAUGAAGGAUGAAGGGGGUGACGUCUGAUGCUCAAAAGCGGCAGUUGUUAGUAUUGUUUAUAUUAGUUGGGGGAUUUCCUUUCAGUCUCUGAUAGAUCGUGCAUUCGACUGGGAUGGAGAAACUUCUAUCGGAAACACCAGAGUUGCCAUAGGGAUGCUUCCAUUGGAGAUUGGGCUAAAGAUUCAUUCGGCGAAUGUGAACUUGUUUCCAAAGUUGCUUAGGGGAAGCCCUUAUUUAUAACUGGUUUUUACUCAGUUUGUUUAUUUAGAAUUGGUUUUUGCUCAGUUUGUUACAGUUAAGGGGGUUUUGCACUGUUGUUCGGUGGCAAGGGAAAUUCCUUUGUAAAUAAAAAUUCCAUCACUCCGUGCAGCACGCCAGGGUAUGUUUAUGUACUUGUUUUUGUUUUUCCUGUUGAAAAGAUGAGUUCUCUCCUUUCUUUUGUACAUAUUUAUCGUUUUACAUGAUGCUUCUCAUGGGGGACAUUCAUUUCUCACCGGUAUCUUCUCAGUCCCUAUGAUUGGCAGUGCACAUUUUAGUUGUGAGUGGAUAUUGCGGGCUAUUCAUUUCUUCUCUUUACUGAUCCCAACUUGUAAGCUGACAACCAUGGAACUCCAAGUCCCCAUUAAUUGCUGUUGAAAUGUUUGUCACGAGUUGUCGGGAAAGAAGGUAACCCGUGUUUUCGUGUAUGAAAAUUGCUGCCGCUGAAGAUUUGUGCUUGAAUAUAUUCGGAAUUCUCAAAUGUUUGCUAGUCUCUUUGUAGUAGAUUGCGAGGAACGGAACGGUCAGGUUAGGGCGUUUUUUUUCGCGCAUUACUUUGAUUGAUUUAUUUCCUUCUUAAUUGAAGAAAAUUUCCGGUGAUCCAAUAUAUGUUGGUUUAUGUCAUGCAGUGCGGAAUUGUUGAUUAAAGGCCUAGCCCGUUUAUUUAUUAUAGAAACUACAUUCAAGGAUCACAUUGCUUCUUCUAGUGUUGAUCGAGGAACGCAGACAGAAGCGCGACAUCCUCAUGGGCUCUGUUAAUGCUGUGCGCUCACGGUGUUCGAGCUCUAUAGGAAGUUAAUUACCAACAUCUCUGGGUUCGCAUCGUAACCAACAACAUGGUUAGGUCAACAAAACACACACACAUGCGCGCGCGCGCACAUCGCAGGAAUUUGAAUUUUAAAAAGAAAAAAGAAAGAAAAAGAAAAGGAAGCGUCUUACAUGUUGUGACAAAAAUGUAGCCAAUUAACGCAUUUGGUGAUGACAAAAAUGUAGCCAAUUAACGCAUUUGUUCCAUUUCCAAAGCCUUAAGCAAUCCAAAGACCUGCCUCCUUUUAAUCCUUUUCCUAACUCCUCAAAAUCCUUAACUCCUCGCAUAAGCUUUGAGGUGCAUAUCUUAGGUUUCUUUCACCUUUUCAUUAUCGGAUGGAUAUUCAUGAUAUGAUGCAUACCUUACGAUUUUCGACCUAAAACUUCUACUUUCAAAAGAAAAGGGGAAAGGAGAGCGAGAGAGAGAGAGAGAAAAUAUAAAAAAUAAAAAAUAAAAGCUUACUACUUAUAUAAGCCUGUGAGAUACUGUGAAUGGUUCCUAUAUAUUGUCGAAAAUUUUUGUUCCUUGUAACAAAGAAUGCUGUAAAGUGUCACAGUUCGUUGUCAUUAGGUGCUCACAUCAUGCGUUAGAUGGUAACUACAUACGGUUCCGGAGAGUGAAAAUCAAUGCCUAAUAUGUUAGAUGGUAACUAACAUACUGAUCAACCCUAGCAUAAGUGGCAAAGAGUUUGAUAAUUGGAAUUUGAGAUUUCAAAUUCAAAUUCUAAAUUAUUCAUAUUUUCAGUUAAAUUUAUUUUUAAAAUAAAAUAAAAGAAGCAUAUAGCAUGUUACCUUGUUAUUUAUUGUUGCUAGAAAAUAAGCUUCAUUUAUGUUACUUGUGGGCUUUGAAUUUGUUGAGGAGCCUAACUUGCAUCCUUGGGGGGAUCGAUCAACUGUCGAAGUCAUAAGAUUCUAUAGUUAGGUUCUGCAGAGUUGUAGCCCAAGUUUCAAAUAUUUCUAUUUACUGAAGCCUCUAGUAAAUAUUCUCGUAGCUAAAUUAAAGAACAGAAGCAAAUCGCGAGCCGAAACAAGCACCGAAAAAAGUAGGAUUUACUGGUCCUAACAAGAUAACAGUCAAGCACGAUAUACCUGUAAUCAUAAGAUAUGGACACGAUCAAUAAGAAAAGCACAAACAAUUUUGUGAACCAAAAAGAAGAAAGAUAGAAAAAAAAGAAAAAAAAGAAAAAAACAGAGGAAACAACCUCACUACAAGUGAUUCUCCAAUUUGGCAUUGCAAUAGGAAACAAUGCAUGCAUGUACUCUACUUUGAGAGGCAUAAGAUAAUAGCACAACACUAGUUAGUGCAUCUUCUUUGCAUACAAUAAUAACAAGAAAGAACCUUAAAAGCAAAGUCAUGUAAUCCAAAACUGGGGCAUUGGUUAAGAAGUGGAAGGGAAUAGUAUUUAAGUGGGCCAUGGAUCUAAAGUAACUGUUAGGAUUUGGUCGGUCCCGUUUCGCGGUAUAUUUAGGCUAAUGAUUCGAACAUUUCUAUGCUAUUUGGCCUAAUGCAAGGAGAGGAUACUAAUAAUUAGAGACCAAAGGGGGAUGCAAUAAAACAUUAAACAAGUUAGUGGAUUGGUUUAAGAAAAGAUUAACAAAAUAGUGGCCUAAUUAGUGGACGUGGGGAUUGUUCCAAUAAUAAUGUAUCUAAGACACUUUAUACGAAAUUGCAAAAAUUCUUAUGCCCUUUUUAUCCAACUUGGUGAUUCUUUGAGCAUAUUUCAGUUCUCAAGUUACUUACAUAUUGUUUGCAACAGUGAGUAUAUAAUUUUGAUUAUUUAGAUAAUGUAUAUUUUGUUUACCAAAUUAAUCUCCAUAUCUAAUAUAGGUUUUAUUUUGAAGAAAAUAUUUUCGAUAUCCGCGUAGUUGCUGAACAUUUUCCUUAGCAUUUGUUCCUAAGUUUUCUCAUAUUUUGUAAUUUUAUUCUUGACCCUUCAAAAAGAAGAAAAUCUAGUUUCUAGCUUACGAUGGCUACCACUUUUUCGGUCCUAGAGAUACGAGCUAUACAUAAUUUAGAAAGAUGCUCUCAAAAUAUUCCUAUAAAAAUUAAUCAAUAAUAAAUAAAAAAUAUCGUGUCCAACGAAAUCACAAACAAUUUAUUCUUGCUGCAUCUGUUCCGAUGUCGACCUUGCUGAGACCAACGACCACACAACUUUCGCUAUGAAUAAGAAAAUUAUAUAUCAAAAUAAGCAAAUCAAAUCGAUGCUUGUUCUAUGAUUUUCGCUAGUGCAUAGCAAAUCAACACUAAAAAAGAUCCCCAAAUACUUUUUUACCUUAUAUUAUUAUUAUUAUUAUCAUAUAAAUACUAAUUAAACAUAAUAAAGAAGUUAGGCCUAAGCAUAGGUUUCCCCUCAAUCCUCCACCUACUAGCCUACAUAUUGAAAAGAAGCUUCUUUUUAAUCCUACCUAACCAUUAAACAAAAAAAUGAUAAAAAAAAAUAAAAAAAAACAAAUGUAGCCUUUAAUGCUCAACACGUAUUAUUAGCAUAGGAGAAACACAAAGUAAUUAUUUUAAAUUAUUAAUGAAGUUGCAAAAAAAUUGAAUUCGUUGCCGACUUUAGUUUUGAUAUGAUACGACCGUUAAAGUCGGUUGCGAUCGACUCUCCCACGCGUUCUUCUUCUUUUUUUUUUUCCUUUUUCUUUUUCCUGCCCUUGCCCUUUUGUGGGGCCCACAUUUUUUUUUAUUAUUUGUAAAUUUCUCCAUCAGACGGUGGAAAUUUCGCCACGUGUUAGACAUUGUGUCGCGAAGUACACCGGCUACAUACGUGCCCUCAAGACUUGGAUCUACAAGACUCCAAAUCACGCCUGCGGGUGUUUGACCUGCUUCUCUCUUUCGUUUUUAAGUUACAGUUAUGAGUCCUACUUUUAAUAAUACUAAGCACUUAGAACGCAUUUGGUUCAAAGUCGAAAUCAGAAUUAGAAUUGAAAUCGAAAUAAGCUGGAAUCAGAAUGACUUAUUAUUUAAUUCUGUUUGGUUCGUUACCUGAAUUAGAAUCGGAAUAAAUCAUUUUUAUUGUCGGUGUUUGAUUCAGGUAGAUGUAAAAAACAUAAUCAAAUUAAUAUAUUAACUUAAUAUUCAUAAUAUAUUAAUUUAAAUUCAAAUUGAAAAUUAAAUAGUAAAAAUUUACAUCAAAAUUUCGAAAUAAUGUCAAAAUUUUAANGAUUGUUAUAGUAAGAAUUCUUAUUGGCAAAUUUAGUUACUUAUUCUCAAUAUUUCGCAUAUCUACAUUGUCUUUGCCCUCUAAGGUGAAGAAGUGGGUAAUGGUUACAAAGCUUAUGAGACUAGCAAGAAGAUGAACUUAAAUUUUUGAGAUGAUCAAAACAUUGGAGCUGAUUGAGACUAGCAAGAAGAUGAACUUAGGGCGUGUUUGGUUCAAAGUCGGAGUCGGAAUCGGAAUCGGAAUCAAAAUAAGUUGAAAUCGGAAUCGGAAUGACUCAUUACCUAAUUCUGUUUGGUUCAUCACCUGAAUCGGAAUCAAAAUAAAUCAUUCCCAUUGUCAGUGUUUGGUUCAGGUGGAUAUAAAAAAUGCAAUCAAAUUAAUAUACUAACAUUUUCUUUAUAAUAUAUUAAUUUAAAUUCAAAUUAAAAAUUAAAUAUUAAAAAUUUACAUCAAAUUUUGAAAUAAUAUCAAAAUUUUAAAUCUUUUUUUUUAAAAAAAAAUAAACUUUGAAGUUGCAUGGAUAAUUCAAAAUAUAAAACUAAAUUUUGAUUUAUUCAAAUUCAAACUUAAAAUAGUAGAUGUGAGGCCUCGUUACGGUUGAUGAACAAUACCCUAACUAACAUUCUAGUUGAUAAUUAGUUUGAUGCUUUUAGCAAUGACGCAUGGAAUUUGGAAGAGCAAAUGAGAAAGCGAAAAGUACCUUGUGAGCAUAAUUUGUGACUUAGAAAAUGAAAAUCAAAGAGAUAGGGGAAAAAGUAACCAUUGAUUGAGACUUUGAUUUGAUGAUCAGAGGAUCUACAUUGUACACAUUGAACUUGAUACAAAUUAUAGUGGCUUUUAUAUAUAGGAUGUUCUUGUGCAUGUGAAAUUACUAGGAAAAGAGAGGAGGUGGGGAAUAAAUGAAUAAUGGUCUUUAAUUACACUAUAUAUAUAUAUAUAGAACUAGAUUGGAAUACUAUUAAUAGUACCAAUAAUUUAGUGCUAUUAAGUUUUCUACCAUUGGAUUAAAAUAUGUGCGGUUAGGAUGAUAUGGACUCCCUAUGGUUGAGUGAGUGAAUACUAUUAAUAGCGCCAAUGAUUUAGUGCUAUUAAGUUUUCUACCAUUGGAUUAAAAUAUGUGCGGUUAGGAUGAUAUAGGCUCCCUAUGGUUGAGUGGAUGGUUAGUUGAAUAGUAUAAUUGAACCGAUGAAAAUGAUAAAAGAGAUAAAUCUAACGGCAGAAAAUUUGAUAGUACCGAAUGCUCCGUGCUAUCGAUAGUAUUCCAGCUGGAAUAUAUAUAUAUAUAUAUAUAUAUAUAUAUAUAUUCUCAAUUUGGUGGUUGUUAAUUUAAGGAACCUUCAAAAGAUGUCAAUUAAUUAGUGUUCCAAUUGCAAUUAAGUGGAAGGAGAUUUGUCUUAGUUGUGAAUGGAAUUGGUGACAUUAGUUAUUUUGGCAAUAGGUAGGGGCAAAUUAAUAUUGUUUAAAAUGUUUCGCACAAGUAGUGGAAAAGGUUAGGAAUUUUCAUUGAAUCAAACAUGUCAUUUGUCUCUUAUUAGCAUAAAAUUUUAGCGCGUGUCGACAUUGUACGUAAUUGCUCAAACAUUGUCUCCUAAUUAAACCUUCCUUCUCAACCGCGUUAGAAAUAUUCGAUCUAUUGAUUUUUUAAAAAAUGUAAAGAAUAUGUCAAAAAGAAUUAAUGGCGAUUAGGACAGAAGUAAUCUGGUUUGACAAGUACUAUCUGAAUAGCACUAUUAGAAAAGUACUACAAUACUAUAACAUGAAAUAUAUAUUUUUUUACUAGUUAUAAUAACAGCUGUAAUACGAAGCAAAAGUAAGAUCAAACUAAUUAAUGUAACAAUUUUCUUUUAUUUUUAAAAGUUUUCACCGUAUAUAUCAUGAAAACCUAGCAUUAUUUGCAGACACAAUUAAUUGCAACAAAUUAUAGAGGCAAAACACUGUCCUCUAGCUUCCUUUUUUUGUUUUUCUCAUUUUAUAAGAAAAAGAAGAAAAAUUAAAUGUUUGUGAAAGCACUUUUAUAAUAGAAGGUAGAGUUGUGCAUUGGUAGCUUUAAUUUCUCGUGACGUGUGUGGUUAGACGAAGACUUGGUGUUUGGACGGUGGACUCUGUAACAUGCAUGCAUGCACAUGCAACAUGUAAACCCUAGAGAGAGAGAGAGAGAGAGAGAGAGAGAGAGAGAGAGAGAGAGAGAGAGAGAGAGAGAGGGGACACCAUUUUUGUUGUCAAUUUCAUAUGUUUCCACAUAUAGAGUUUAGUAUUUGUGUGUGUGUGUGUAGUAGACGUGUUAUUUUUAGAUGGGAAAACCUUUAAUUGUCCUUAAUUAUGUUGUUUUAACGUAUUUUUAUUUUGUUGGUUUGUAGUUAAAAAGGUUUUAUAUUGCUAUCCUAUAAUUUUUUUAUUAUUAUUUUGUAUUAUUAAAAAUUUAUUUGAAUUCUAGAAGAGGUAGCAAGUAAAAACAAAUAUGAACAAAUUCAUAUGUUUAGCACAAAUGUAUGAACCGAGAUUCUUGUUGACUAUAAUAUAGUCCAUAUAUUUAAACUUUUUAGGAAUCAAAUUUUAUAUAUACUUUUUUGAUACAUCGCUAAUCGAAUGAUCAAAGGGUCAUAAAAUUUACAAUUUUAAUAGCCGGUACGAUGCGUUUACUUGUUUAACAGUAUAAAAUAGUCUAAAUCAGCUAAAUUUUUAUUAGAUUUUUUUUUUAACUAUUUAAAACAAGAUAUAUAUAGACCCUAGAUCUUGAACACAAAAACUAUAUUAUUGCUUUUUGAAGAAUAUUCAUUUUCAACCAUUCAAUUUAUGUCCACUUGAUGGACAAGAAAAUAAUAUCAGAAAAGUAUAAAAUUUGAUUUUAUAUAUAUAUAUAUAUAUAUAUAUAUAUAUGUGUGUGCUGUGUGGGUGGUUGAAAAAAUAUUCGUAGGCGAUUUCUUUUUUUUAAAUACUUUUUGGUUUCCUAUUUCAUAGGAAGUUUAAUUAAUUUCUGAAAUAUAAACUUGUUAACUUCUAAAAUAAUUUCUUCUAAAAUUCAAAUAAACCCAUGUAAGAGAGAGAGAGAGAGAGAGAGAGAGAGAGAGAGAGAGAACUCUAAAAGGAAAAAGUAUAAAGGAUCUAAGGUACUUUCGCAAACUAUUUUCAAUUUACAAUUUUUUUUUUUUUUCUGUAGUUCUUACAAUUAGAAUAAUUUUUUUACUUUAAAUAAAUUGGUUGGCAUAUAUAUAUAUAAAAUAAAAAAUUUAUCGAAUCUCUCUUCAAUAUACUCGAGAAAGGGUUGGAGAAAAGGGUUAACAAAUGAGGUGCGAGGUAACUUCUUCUUUGACCUCUUGUGUGUGUCAUGUUGUUUCGAGUCGUUUUAGUCAAAGUCAUAGCUACUUAAACUUUGACUUUAAUCACCCUACACAAAAUGUAAAUUAAACUUACAUCUAGCUACUUUAUUUUGACCCCUCUAAUUAAUUAUUUGGAUGUAAAUUAAACUUACAUCUAGCUACUUCAUUUUGACCCCUCUAAUUAAUUAUUUGAAGUUGGAAAAGUAGAGCAUUAAUUGAUUAAUUGUUGAUAGUAAUCGAUCUAAUUUAACCAGUAACAAAGAAAUUAAACCUCAUUUCCAGUUCAUGCUAAUAAACUUGCACUAUUACAUAUAAAAUGUACUGAAUUUAUAAAUGUUAUUAGUUAAUACUUCUACAUUCAUUCUUUUCCUUAUGAUAUUUGUAUUCAAAUUGUUAGUGGAAAAAUAAAGAUUAUAUUCGUAUAAUUGAUUGUGGGAAAACCAUCAUUUUCCUCUACAAAUCGCGUGAGCACUCGUCGAGGGUUUAUUAAAAUAAUUUGAAAAUAUUUGAUCUAAUCGAGCCAUAGUGUAUAUAUAUAUCGAUCGAAGUCGAUGAACCACUUCGAUCUCGAAAUCGUAUGAUAUUCCUAUGACUAAGAAGCAUAAUAUUACAAUUAGCUAGGUGUAACAAAACAUGUAUCACCUAACUCUAACACUCGUGACAUAUUUAUUUUGUGCCUCUAACCAUAAAUAUAGUUGUUUCGAAGAUUAUAUAUUACGCACCAUGCACGAGCCUUGAAACUAAAAAAAAAAAAAGGAAAUGGAAAUUAAUUACGAGCACACGCAAGCAAUGACAAAUGAUAUUUUGAAAUCAUGCAAAAUAUAAAAUUUCCAUCAUGUUUGAGCCUUCACAAACUCUCUCUCUCUCUCUCUCUCUCUCUCUCUCUCUCUCUAUAUAUAUAUAUAUAGAGAGAGAGAGAGAGAGAGAGAGUCCGGCUACUAUACUUUUAUGAGUACGAUCGCCCUUUUAUUCAUAAGUUGUUUUUGAUGAUAGAGGUUUUGAAUCGACGAUCCACACCGUUAAACGUUAUCUAGAGGCUUUAAAACGUCUAGAAAUUAAAUUUUAUAAUUUUUCGACAUAAUUUACCUUACAGGUCACAAAUUUGACAAUUUUUAACGGCCGGUAUGAGAUAUUUGCUCGUUUAGCGGUGUAAAAGAAUCGAAAUUGGUUGAAUUUUUGAUAGAAAAUUCUAUUAACUACAUAGAUAAAGAUUAAUAACUCCGAUCUUAAAUUGAAGGAUCCGAUCAUCUAUUUUUAAGACGUCGUUUGAUUUUAACCGUUCAUUUUAUACCUGCUUGAUGAACUUUAUUCUAAUUUCGAAAAAUUACAAAAUUUAUUUUCUAGAAGUUUUAAAUACUCUAGAUUAUAUUUAAUGGAAUGAAUCGUCAAUUCGAAAGCUCCAUCAUUGAAAAUAACUUAUGAGUAUGAAGAGUUCUAUACUCAUAAGAGUACAGUAGUCGUAGCCUCUCUCUCUCUCUCUCUCUCUCUCUCUAUAUAUAUAUAUAUAUAUAGUUGAGCUAGAAUACUAUCGAUAGUAAACGAACUGUUUUACUACAGAUUUGUUUUCAAUGAUAGAGCUUCCAAAUUGAUGAUCGGCUCCGUUAAAUAUGAUCUAAACCAUUUAAACUACCUAGUAAUCAAAUUUCACGCACUUUCGAUAUUGUUCUUUUAUCCAUCAAGUGAACAGAAAAAUGAAUGGCUGAAAGUGAAUAUUCUUUAAAAAUUGAUGAUAGGAGUCUUGUAAUCAAGAUCAAGAGUAUAAAUCUUGUUUUAAAUAGUUUAAAGAAUUUUCUAACAAAAAUUCAAUUGAUUUGGAUAUCUUUACGUCGUUAAACGAGAAAACGCCUCUUAUCGACUAUUAAAAUUACAAAUUUUGAAACCCUUUGAUCAUUAGGCAAAUGAUGUNNNNNNNNNNNNNNNNNNNNNNAUAUAUACGCGCGCGUGCGCGCUCUUUCCUUGUAAUUUACCAUGUUGAGGCAAAUGAAAUUUCUUGUAAGUUACAUGCUUGACUUAUAACUUAAUUAAUUGCAUACAUAUUUAUAUAUAUAAACAAGUAGGAGUAAUUUCAAAGACAUGUGAUCGAAACAACCAUCAUUAAUUCUGCGCACUCUUCUUCCUUCUAGAAGUUAAUUAAUUGUAUCGAAUGGUCGUGUAAUUAAUUUCCAGUAAAUCGAUCUACUAACUAACACAAAUAGAAUUACUUGCGCUUUGUGAAAAUUACACAUCAUGUACUCUUCAUUUUAAGCUACUAAUGCGAUCAAUUGGUCAAUUAAAUGAUCGAACCAAAUUAAUCAAGGUUUUUUUCUUUUUUUUGUUUGGUGUAUUUUGAAAAAGCCCACGUAGCCCACGGGUGCAUAUUUUUUUUUCUAGGGGCGGGCGUUUCUCACCUUACACUUUCCAUUGUAAUUUCUAUUUUAUUUUACUUUUUUGCAGAAGACACCUAAAACUAUUAUUAAAUUACCCAAAGGACCUGUAGUAAAAAAAAAAAAAAAGGAAAAACUUCAAAUACCACGAGGUGGUUUCGCACUUUCUCACUAUAGUACUCUAUGGUUUAAUAUUUCGUUAAAUUAUAUACAAAAAACUUCAUAUAUCUUACCUAAGUUUAUCGAAUAUUCAUUUUAGUACCUUUAGUUUUAACUUUGUCACUGAUCUAACAAAAAAACACUCCGAAAUGAAUAAUAAAAAGAAAUAAAAUGAAACAACAGAGUACUAACUUGAUACAAAAAUGAAACCAUAUAGUACUAACUUGAUGCACUUUAAAUCACAAGGGUACUAAAAUGAGGAAGUGCGGAACCACAGAAGAGGUUUUUGAAAUUUUCCCAAAAAAAAAAAAAAAAGAAUAGAGGAGGUUGGAAUGAGAAGCGAGCCACGGAUUCCGAGCAAUUUAUUAAUUAAUUAAUUUUGUGGGUGUUUUUGGGCGAAAUUGGGACGGGGAAUCUGUGGGUGAUGACGGGGCUACACGUGUGCGCCACCCCACGUGCCACUCACGGGACCCGCACGUGCUCGUCCUACUUCAACCCGUGUCUUAAAUAUUUCCUCCAUAAAAAAUUUUAAGUAAUAUUUAUUUUGCACCAUAUUUUCGCCUUAUUCUGUGUUAAUUAAUCCGUGAAUUAUUCGUGAAUCUAAAUUAAACAGUUUGUUUACGAAUUUUUUUUUUAAAGAAAAAAAAUUAUUUGUAAAUUUUUUAGCCAGUCGAAUAAUUUACGAAUUAUUAAAAAUUUGACUAAAAAUUUAUAAUUUUGAUGUUUAAAUAUAGAUUAUCUUAUAUUUUAUAUUUUACAUCGAAUCUAUUUUUUAAGUCGAAUUUUUUAACGAAUUUAAAAAUUGGAAAAUAAAUUUUAUGCGUAUUAUAUUUAUACCGAAUUUUUGCUGAAUCCAAACUAACUAACUACGGUCCUAGUUACAUCAUUUUGUCAGAGUUUUUUUACUAAUUUUAACGAUAUAUUAAGGCAACACAUUUGAAAUUUUAUUUAUAGUCCCUCAAGCACAACUUCAAAUAUUAGAAUUCUAAAGUUCUUAUAAAAAGAGUAUUCACAUGUGGGAAUUUAAAUAUUUAUAAAUUUCAAUUUGUAACACUUUCGUAAAAUAUUAACGAAAUCUCUAAAUUAUCCAAUUUGUUUGACACAAAACCAAAAUAUAAAUUUGACAUUGUAUAAUUUUAUUUUAAAGAGAAGUAUUUGAGAUAUUACAAAAAGUGCAAAGUAAAAUGGAAAAAUAUUAUUUGUACACUUCCAUAUGUGAUUUUUGACGUAUUACUACAAAUUAAAAAAGUGCUAUAAUUUGACGGUACACUAACAGGCAUAAUUAGGCGGAUUUUGUUUGUUUUAAGCACGUGAAAGUGCUAUAAUUUGUCGAUACACUAUAAUUUGUCGAUACACUAACAUGCAUAAUUAGUCUCCUUCGAGGUGACCUAAAGUAUUUUCGACUAAAUUUUUUGUAACAAUUUAUUAUUUUCUCUAUUUAACAAAGUAAUUAUGGCUACGAUUAAUUUUUAAAAAAUGAUCUUACGAGCGUAAAUGAUGGAUUAGCAUAUGCAAGUGACCGUUAUAUAUAACCGUUACACCGAAGCGUGCGCUCCAUCCUAGCCGUCCAAUCUCCGAAUCAGGAGAGAGCGAGCACAUCGGGCCCAUCCGAGCGUGUUCGCCUCUCCACGGUGGGCCCUUGGCCCAUAAAGUGGGGCCCAAUCCGUUCAAACUAAAGUGGGCCCCGAGCCUAAGCAUAUUUGUUCGUUUCGGUUCCUCGUUCCCCCAGUCCCUAUAUAAAUCCCCCACCUCCCAACUCCUACUCCCCACCACCAACUAAAACAGAGUACUCUGUUUCGAAAUUACUUAAUUCAAUAUCUUUUCUUAGCGACACUUAAAUAUUUGAUAAAAAAAGUGUCGAAAAUGACGAAUCAUAAUGUGUUCACUCCUAAGGACAUGCCUCUCGCCGCCGCUGCCGCAGUUGCUGCGAAUGCGACUCUGCACUACUCGUACCCCCCGCCGCGUAGCAUCGGCGGGGCCGCCGACUACGCCGGCUUCAAGAAGCUGUUGACACAGCUCGAGCACCGCAGCAACAGCGGUGGCAGCAGCGGCGGGUGGAUUGGGUCGUGGUUGGAUUCCAUGCGAGCGUCGUCGCCGACGCACGUCGCCUCCGCCGCCGCAGUUCUCACGUCGCCCUCUCUCAUGGCUCCUUGUACAGCAGAGUAUGAGGAGUGGAUGGUAUGUGUAAUUUCUAACGUUGCACAAAUUUUUUUUUAGCAAAUAAAGUUAGAUGACAAAAUAAAAAUUCUGUUAGUAUCAACAGUUUUAUCGGUUACAUGUCAAAAUCUACAUGUUUUCUGAAAAAAAAAAGGAAAAGAAAAAUUAUUGUAAUUUGCGAAAACUUUGCGCAGAAGCAGUGCCCAUCAGCAUCGAACAAGUUCGAGGAGAUCACCGCGAAAUCGAAGGGUAAAAAGAUCGUGAUGUUCCUCGACUACGACGGCACCUUAUCGCCGAUAGUCGACGAUCCGGAUCGCGCGUACAUGUCCGAAGCGGUGAGAGGAAGCGCGUUUUCCUGAAGCACUUUUGUAGCUUCCUCUGUUUUUUUCCUAAUACUCUGUUUUUUUAAAAGUAAUUUUAGAAAUAUUACGAGAGUAAAAUCGGAAUUUUGAUUCGCGGGUUCUUAUUGGUUUUAGAUGAGAGAGGCUGUGAGAGAUGUGGCGAAGUGUUUUCCCACAGCUAUUGUGAGUGGGAGGUGCAGAGACAAGGUGCAUUUCCAUUUUUACCCUUUUUACAGUGACAUGAGUCUUUUUUUUAAUUAAAAAAAAUAUAUCUAUAUUUAUACUAUAUAUAUAAAAGCACGUAUAUUUAAAUUUGGGUCUGUCGACAGACCCAUUUUUCGGCGAAAAAAUUAGCGCCUAUUUUUUUCUUUCCGUACGAAAAAUUUUAAACGUAAGAAUAAAAAUAGAAAUAGAAACCGCAAUGAAUAUGUAAGUUCUAGAUUAGAGAUGUGAAAAUCCUAAAAAAUAAAUUUUCUUAUUUAAUUUUAAAAGUAAGUUUUCUAUAACAGAUUAUGGGUGUGAAAAUUCUAUAAAAAAUAUUUUCCUAUUUUAUUUUAAAAUAUCUUUUUUAGAUAUUAUCUAUUUAAUUUCAAAAUAUAUUUUCUUUUUAAGAUAAAGGAUUUUAUUUUUCUAUUUAAUUUCAAAAAUUUAUUUCCUAACAGAUUUUAUUUUUCUAUUUAAUUUCAAAAGUAAUUUUUGCAUUAGAGAUUAUUGUUAAUUAUUUAUCAUUUAAAGCAUAUUUUUCUUAAUAGCGUGAUUUAUUAUUUUAAAUUUUUUAGAUACAUAUUUGGCAAUCAUAUAAAAUAUGGCCUAAAAUUAAAAAAUAAUUUAAAAAAAUUAUAACUUCUUCUAAUAAUUAUUACGUGCAUUUGCACAUACAUUUUACUAGUAUAUAUAUAUUUCUAUUGGUUAUUUGGCUAAUUAUUUAAUUUAAUUCAACUUUAAUUUUUGUUCAGGUGUUUAAUUUUGUGCGGUUAGCAGAGUUGUACUACGCAGGUAGCCAUGGGAUGGACAUCAGAGGGCCCACAAAAAGCCCCAAAAAUAUAAGAGAGGAGAAGGUGGGAUACAUACUCCCCAAAUGAUUGUGAUUUGUUAAUAAAAAAAAAAAUAAACUUUUGACUUUUUUGGAUUUUUUUUAUUUUUUUUUAUUAGUUACAUCUUAAAUUUUUUAUUAUUUUAAAUGGUUAAUUUCAGGCAAAAGCAAUUCUCUGCCAACCUGCAAGUGAAUUCCUUCCCAUGAUAGAAGAGGUGGAGAGUUUUUCUCCUUCGAAACUUCCUACGAAAUUUCAUGUUUGCUUAUUUUAUUUUAUUUUAUUUUAUUGUUUACUUUUGACUUUGUGCAUGUAAUGAUUUGUAUGUAUUAAAAAUUAUAUAUGGUGAUCUCUUUAUCUUCAAAAAAGCUUAUUAAAAAAGUGAUGUUUAAUUAUGUUACGUCCAAAUAUUUCCAUCCUAUAGCUAAUGUAGCCUCAAUUAAUCUCUUUUUUAAAAAAAUUUACUUUGUGCAUGUAAUGAUUUGUAUGUAUUUAUAUUUACUCAUGGUGAUCUCUUUAUCUUCAAAAAAGCUUAUUAAAAAAGUGAUGUUUAAUUAUGUUACGUCCAAAUAUUUCCAUCCUAUAGCUAAUGUAGCCUCAAUUAAUCUCUUUUUUAAAAAAAUUUACUUUACUUUUAUGAAGCUUAGCUAGUUUUUUGUGAAUCUAACAAAAUCAAUGUAUUGGCAACAAAAAAAAGAAAAAUCAUCUACCAUGAGUAAAUAUAAGUUUUCUUUUAUGUUUUGAGCUCAAUCCAACAAAGUACACCAUGCAUAGAAUAUAGUUUUUACAUUUUAGUUGCACCACUACAUGCAUGUCUACGUGUAUAUAUGUAUCUAACGUGUGAUAUUUCAUGGAUUGUGUUCUUAUCAAGGUUCACAAAGUAUUGGUGGAUAAAACCGGAUCGAUUCAGGGCGCCAGGGUCGAGAACAACAAGUUUUGUUUAUCAGUUCACUUCCGCUGCGUAGAUCAAAAGGUAGAUAUAUACAUCACCAAACUACUAGUGAACCUAAACAUGUUCUUUUGCAAUAAGUGGAAACAUUUUUUGUAAGAGCUACUUAUGAUUUCUUUGUAACUUUAUACUAGAAAUGGGACGCGCUAGCCGAGCAGGUUAAAUCGGUUUUAAAGGACUACCCGAAGCUUCGGCUUACGACAGGGCGAAAGGUGCGAGAAUACUUUUUAAUUUAUUGGCUAAAACCUAUACUAUCUAUAUAUAUAGUGUGUACUAGUAGUUCCAAGUUUAUAUUUAGUAUCAUGAAAAUGACUCUAUUGGUGUAAUGUUUUUUUCCGAGUUUUAGGUAUUGGAGAUUCGCCCAACUAUUAAGUGGGACAAAGGGAAGGCACUCGAGUUCUUGUUGGAGUCUCUAGGUGAGCCUAAACACACAUUGCACCACAUCAUUUUCACAUCAUUUUUAGUAUAUUAAAACAUGAUGUUUAGCUAAUCCUAUCAUUAGCUAUAUAUAUCGACCAAUAACCGCCUAAUUUCUCUUUGUUUAUAGGAUACGCCAACUUUAGUGAUGUAUUUCCGGUAUACAUCGGAGACGAUCGCACCGACGAGGAUGCUUUCAAAGUAUGUAUAUAUAUAUAUAUAUACAUCUUUCUUGGAACCUUUUUAUUUCUUAUAUAUGUUGAUGUAUACUUAUGGCCAAUAGAUAUCUAUUGUUAGGAACUUAUUGGUCGCUCGAUGUUUAUUUUAGGUUUUGCGUGAUCGAGGACAAGGUAUAGGUAUUCUUGUUUCCAAAGUUCCGAAGGACACUAGUGCCUCUUAUUCUCUUCAAGAUCCCGCGGAGGUAAACUAUAUUUGUAGCCAUUAUGUGAUGUACUUUUGCUAUAAAAGUUCACUAGCUAUGAUUCUAAUUUUCUUGCAUUGGAUGACUUUUAUAGGUGAUGAACUUUUUGCGCAACCUAGUGGAGUGGAAGCUUCGCUCGCUCGACGAUCGUGUGAAGGUGUAAAUAAGUCGUAACCAGCUCACCACCCCCGUGAAAUUUCUCAUAAUGGGAGUGUUAGAUGAGUAGUACUGUGUAUUUUGCGUACGAACGAGGAAAGUUACUAAGAUGGAGUUGUGUGUUCAAUUAUUUCUAUCCUUUGUUCUAUCUUUUUCCUUUCGAUUUCCUUUUUCUUGUAUAAUUGAUGGACUAAGCUUGGAAGGGUUUCUUGUUACGUACCUUUCUCAGUAGGUCAUGUAAGUAAUUUAUGUAAGGCGAAGGAAAAAACUAACAAUUUUUCUCCCUUAUUUCUAUCGUAGAUCAUAUAUAGAGUUUGUAUAUUUCAAUACAUGAUCGAUGUUAACAGUUUGCCUCUAUAUACUCUCACAAAGGGACUAAUUUGGGAAAUGGUCACUGUAUUUUUUUGAUGAAUAUUAUGCAUGUAAUUAAGCGAUCGGUUGCGCGAUCAUUUGAAUGUUUAUCUUGCGUGUUUGACAUGUUCAUGAGAUCUCAUGCAUGCAUGUAUAAUAAGUUCACUUUUGACUUCUAAUCAUGCAUGCGUAGGAUGUUAGAUUUUUCAUAUGAGAAAAUCUACAUCCUAACUUUUCCUUUAAAGCUACACAACAGUUGCUCACUCAGUAUCUGAUAAUUUACAGCAAAAACACAAUAACAUUAACAAGUUUCUCUUUUAAAUUGAGCCCAUUUUCUACAUCAAAUUCUUUGUUCUACAUGGAGAGAUUGGUUGUUCUCAGGGAAAAAAAAAGACCUCAUUAUUUCUCUUUGUGAUAGAUUUUGGAGUUAUUUUUAAGAUCUAUGGUUUCGACAUUUCGAAACUAGCUCGAAAUAAAUCUAAAGCCUAGCUACACUGCUUCCAUUUCUUCUGACAUUAGUUAAAUGAUCGAGGGAUCAUGUGCAUCUACAUGGCUAAGUCAUUAUCAACAGAAAGAGAUAGUGUCGGAUCAUUGGCGCUAAUCAUUAAUCCCAAAAGCUUGAGCUAUUAGAAAUACGCAACUAAUUCACUUAAAGCGUACAGAUACAGCGCCCAUAGGUAUCAAUUGUGACUUGGCCCAUCCGGCCUCACGCCACUUCGAACAUGACUCGGCCCAACCCAGCCUCACGCCAUAUCGAACAUGACUCGACCCACAUGGCCUCCCGCCACAGGGUAGGAUGCUGACCCAUUUAAGCCAACAAUCCCCCCUGCAGCACCUGCACACAUUUGCAGCAUGCGAAAAUCGAAUCCGUAACCUCUGGCUCUGAUCCUACUUGUCAGAUCACUGGCGCUAACUAUUAAUCCCAAAAGCUCGAGCUAUUAGAAAUACGCAACCAAUUCACUUAAAACGUACAGAUACAGCGCCCACAGGUAGCAAUUGUGACUUAGCCCACCCGGCCUCACGCCACUUCGAAAAUGACUCGGCCCAAUCCAGCCCACGCCAUUUCUAACAUGACUCGGCCCACAUGAUCUCUCGCUAUAGGGCAGGAUGUUGAUCCAUUUAAGCCAACAGAUAUAUAGGACUAAAAGAUCCAAAUGAAAUGCCGGUUUUUGCAACUUCUUUUCAACAAAUCAAGCUCGGGUUUGUCAACAAGCAACUUGUGAGCAUUAGUAACAUGUUUGAUUUAAAAUUUUUAUCAAUCAAAAUAAUGCACUGAGAUGAAAAUAAUCUAUGGCCUAAUUCUUUAAGCUAGGUACGUAGUCGUAAUUUGGCGCCGGCCUAUGCUAUGUUCUCCUCCAAAUCACUCCGUUGGAUCAAAAGCUAGCUUAAAUCAACCAAUAAGUAUAUAUUUUUUUUUUCAUGGUAAUCGAAAAAAAAAAGGUAUCAAUAUCACUAUCCUAUAUUAAUAUACGAGUACCUAUCCCCACAUAACAUUUCAUACUUCGAAGAAUAACUACAUUCAUCAAGCAUGAUGAUCUUUAGUAUAUAUUAAAUAUGUGGUAUAUAUACUUAGGGGCUUAAUUUUAGUUACCUCGUUACAAAGAUCUCACAUGAUGGUGCUCCAUUGCUAUUUUCCUCACACAAUGGUAUAAGCUUCUAAAACUUACCACCUGCUCAAUAUUAUUUAUUCAUUGUCCCCCCUCUUGGAAACAAAGUACUCUUAACUCUUUCUAGGAUAAAAAAUUGACCACAUACAUAUGUGCCUUAAAAAGUAUAAAUGCUUUUGUCCUUGAGAUCCUAACAUAUCAACAUGCAUGGGCAAUGAGCAAAGAUCCAUUCAAAUUAAUAGAGUAUGACUGUAUGAGUAGCUAGCAUAAUUGGUCACAACUAGAUAUCUAAUAUUCUUAAGGAAAAGAGAACAGUUCCCUUUGCUCCCAAAACCAUACAAAAGCUUAGUCCCCAUAAUUGUUUUUGUUACGACAAACGCACAAACGGAAAUAAAAUGGCGAAUACGAAACACUCAAAUCACAAGUAAAAAAUAAAGAUAACACACAAAGUUAUGUGAAAAAUCCUUUGCAGGAAAAACUACGGGCGAGGGAGGAGAGAACUUCACUAUCGAAACAAAAGGGAAUACAAUGUUCUUCAUAUUACAACCGACCACGAUCUCACACGCCCCUAGGGCAAAAAGCGAAAAGAAAACUCAUAACGGGCCCUCCGCUACUCACCACAGACAUUCAUUUUUCCUCCAUAAUUUUCUUUUCCAAUUUGGUCGCACCGCGAAGCUGUCGGCGAGUCAAAAAUCCGAACUUGAGUCGAUAAUCAAUUUUGAGUCACAUCUAACAGUUUUGAUUAAUCAACCCCACAUCAUGUACUCAAAACAUGCCCAUUCUCUUUUGUUUUUACCUUUUUUUUUUCUUUUCUUUUUUUUGUGUUGUUUGUUUUGCUUUUUGAUAUCUUUUGUGUUAGGCCAUGAAAGGAAACACACCAUACCUACCAGAUGUAAAGCAAAGCCAAAGCUGUGGGAGGAGUUGGAAAUCCACUUGAUUUUUGUUAAGUGGGGACUCUUUCUUCCUUUUGUCUUUGAGCCUCCAUGCCACCUCCUUCAUGCGUGGAAAGGGUUUUAAACUAAUGCCUUAGAGAGUCCAAAUCAUUGAAGUAAGUGUGCUUUUAUUCAACACAAACCAACUCAUCUCCAUUAAACAAAACUAAUUAAACAUCAUUUUAAGAUCCAUUAGUGGCUCAUUAUAUAUAUACAAUGAUUGAUGUGGGUUUGAUGAAUGGUUUAGUGGGAUUAUUAAUAGUAGUUUGGACAUGCUACCUAUGAAGUCUACAAAAGCUCACAUGGGGAGUUUUGAAACUAGGUUCACACAUAUAUUAGAGGAGUUAAUUAAGAGGGUGUGAGGGGUUGAUGAGUAACAAUGAGAACCACAAAUUUUUGAGGAUUCAUGGGUUUUUAUAAUUAGAACUUAGAAAAAGGUGCAUAUUUGGUGAGCAUGCAUGUUGUGGUCCUAAGGGCUAUGUGUUGCAUGGGAAUGGUGUGGCCGGUUUAUAGUGUGGUGCUUAAAGUGUUAACAAGGUCCACACUCCACACAAGAAAUUUUAUUUUUUUCCCCUCCCUCUCUCUGUCCUGUUUUGGUACAUGCAUUAAUUGAGAUGCAUGCAUGUGCAACGAGAGACCACCAACUUUAAUAGUGUUUAGUUGGAGAAUAGAGUGGCCACAUUAAUAGAUUAUUUCCACUAAUAUUUACUCGAAAUUAAUAAAAAAAUUUACAGGAUCGAUGUGUUUGAUUGAGACACACCUUUUUCAACCUUUGUAUAGCACUCGAUACGAAUCUUAAAGCAGCACUAAGUGCUAUCGAAGAUAGGAAAAUUAAUGUCGAAUAUUUCUAUUUGGACGAUCCCUUCAUCUAGAGAUAGCAAGUUCUCGAGAGGCUUAUAACUACAGUGAAACAUUUGGGCGGUUUCUAUACCAUAUUAAGUAUUUAAAUCUACUUGUCAAAUAAGUUUUUGAUCUAGUUUGAGGUAAGAUGAAACUGUAAAAUGUGGAGGGACCAAAUGCAGGUCCAGGGACGAAAUUGUAAUAUUUGGAAACUACGGGGACUAUCCGCACAUUUUUACCAGUAAGGCUAACCUAAACAUGGACCGGCCCAAAGUGUUCUGUGCUGGUCAUUGGCGAAGCCCAAUGGCUCAAUACAUCAAUGGCCCAAUACCUUUUGUAGGACCUUAAUGUUUUGGGCCGUCACGAGGAAAAAUUAAUCGAACCGGCCCAUUUAUUACGGCCCAAAUAUAUUCUACCAGCUCAACUAAUCUACUUUUUGUGAAAGAAAAGAUGCAAAUUUGAGAAUUUUUAAUUUAAUUUUAUGGUAUAAUAAGACAUAGUCUAUGGAUAUUUCAUACCCCAUAAAUCCAAACCCGCAAAGUAGCACAGCGCGAAUUUGAGUCUGAAACCUCGAGAUAACAGAGUGCGGUUUUUGCCUAUGCUAACGUGGAUUGGAUGAAACCAAAUAAAAAUUGUUAGGAGAGGAUUAAGAACUGGCCAAAUGCUAAUGUCCAAUGACUUCUCUAUGCAAACUUUGUUUGGAAGGGAAAAGCACAAAAGUGUAGUGGAUAUCACAAAGAUUGAUGCUUAUUAUGUUAACUUUGCCUCUUUUUUUGGUUUUUCCAUUCAUAACAUUACGCGGAAACUCCAAGAAAAUAACAGGAUAAUGAACAAUAAUAAAUAAUAAACAAGUGAUAAGAGGCCUUACUUUGGUUUCUCCUGUGCUUUUAAUUUGGUCUCUAAUGAGCCAUAGACCAAUUUUAUUUUAUACGUGAUGCUGUUGUGUUUUUUUUUUUUUUAAUCUUCUGUGACAUGAAUUUCGAAAUGCAAGAUAUGAUGUAGAGGGAGAGAGAGAGAGAGGACAUAGUUCACACACUCAAAAAAUUUACUAAAAAUACCAAUAUAAUUAUCUGAGGAAAAUUUUCAUAGGAUGAUUCCUCAUGGUAUUUGAUUAUAACUUAAUAAUCAGAAAAGUUUAUGACAUAAUUGGCUCCUCAUGAAUUUGUUUCCUCAAGAGGCUAUGGUGUUUUUUGUGAUCACAUAGUUAUGAGAAACUAAAAGCUAUUUGUGUGCAUGUAUGCAUAUUUAUUUGAUAUGGAGAUCAUUGGAUAUACCAAGGCUUAAACUAAACAAAGCAAGAAAAAAAACAAGGCCUCAUUAAUUAAGCUUAGAAAACAAUUGAGACACCUUGUAGCAGGGGCUAACUCUUUGUCUUUUAUAUCAAAAAUAAAGAAAUGAGCUCUCUCUACAAUCCAACUGCAUAAGAACAAUAAGCCAAUCAUUUUGUGGCUCCCAUAAUACCUUAUUUAAUUCUCUCUCUCUCUCUCUCUACCCCUGUAAGAUGACAUGAAUAUAAAUCUUAGCAUCAUGUGCCCAAGUUGAACAUCUUUGAUUUCGAAGAUUUUACUCGAAAUGAAACUAGAAAUAGUAACACUUUUGUACUUCUUGUACCUUGCCACACCAUGUCUCGCCUUUGCGAACGAGGCCAAGCGCCUCGUCGAGUUCUCCAGAACAAGAAGGUCGAUGAAUCAUCCUCGAGAUGAUGCAUCGGAGAAUAUUUACAAUUACACAAACUUGUCGGCAUAUGUCGGUUCACAAGAUGGCCUCAGAGAGACAGAUAAGAUUACCGCAUUGCCCGGGCAACCUAAUAAGGAAGCGGAAUUUGAUCAGUAUGCCGGAUAUGUGACGGUGGAUGCGAAAGCCGGGAGGGCACUUUUCUACUACUUUGUGGAGGCUCUUCAUGAUCCUUCAAAUAAACCUUUAGUUUUAUGGCUUAAUGGAGGUACAAAAUUACUUUUGUCGGUACUUCGUCUUUAGCCGUCCUUGAUCGAUUUGUUUUGUAACCUUAGAGUUAUAGGUUCUCGUUUUCUCGACUGUAAAACAUCGUAUCUAACAACACGAACUUUUAGAGAAAUCGGUUGUUCGGUGAAUUUGUGUUGUCUAAAUUUGACUCAAAAUUUCAGGGCCCGGGUGCUCGUCUUUGGGAGGUGGAGCAAUGCUAGAACUUGGACCCUUCUUUGUUAACCCCAAUGGCAAAACACUCUACAAGAAUAAUUAUGCAUGGAAUAAUGGUUAAGUGCCUUCUCAACUUAAAAGAGAAAAAGUUUUCAUUCAAACUCCUUAAUUCGAAGUUUCAGUAGUUUCUGCUUCUUGAAAUAGAGAAGUUGACGCUGACUAUUACUUCUUCGUCACGAAUGGCGUGCAGUGGCAAACAUGCUAUUCCUUGAGAGCCCGGCCGGUGUUGGCUACUCAUACUCCAACACCACUUCGGAUUACGACAACACGGGAGACCAGAGGACCGCCGGGGAUGCCUACACCUUUCUCAUCAAUUGGCUUGAGAGGUUCCCCGAGUACAAGAGCCGCGAUUUCUUCAUUACCGGAGAGAGCUACGGCGGGCACUACGUACCGGAGCUCGCGAAUGUUAUUGUCACCAACAACGGAUUUGCUAACACGACUGCCAUCAAGCUUAAAGGAGUUGCUGUAAGUGUUCUGGUUUUGAGACAUACAGAAGCCAAAUCAUAUCACCUCUCUCAACUUUCGCCCACGUUAGCAAUAUAAAGAUAAGAACAUAAGCUCGAUAUCCAAAUUUGCAGAUCGGAAAUGCGUUGUUGGAUUGGGACACAAACGAUAAGGGGACCGUCGACUACUUCUGGACCCAUGCCUUGAUUUCUAAGAGCACCCACGAAGCGAUUCAGAGAUACUGCAGUUUCAACGGGACGUAUUCGAACGACUGCGAAAAUGCCCUAUCUUUAACUGUAUAUGAAAGAGGAGACAUUGAUGACUACAACAUCUACGCACCUCAGUGCGUCGAUGGUUCCAAUUCUUCGCAAUUAAAGGACUCGGUAUACAGCAAUAUACAUAUAGAACUUAACAAAGUUACAUAGAUAUAUAACUUAUCAAGUGUCUAUAGUGGCAGGUGUCGCUAGGCGAUCCUUGUUCCCCGAACUAUGUCGAAAAUUAUUUGAAUCUUCCUGACGUGCAAAGGGCUCUUCACGCAAACACUACACGCUUGAACUACCCAUGGAUAGAUUGCAGGUAUAACAAUGAUCUCCAUAAUAUGAACUCUCAAAUUCAAAUGUACAAAGUUCGAAUAUUGCAGGAUAAGCUUAUUCUUUUCCACGACUUUUUUAAUGUCUAUUGAGGUUUAUUUUGACGUUUAGUAGCUUCGCUUUUGUGUGAUAAUAGCCUUGAUGCUAUUCAAUUCUCGAUCAUCUCAAGUACAUGCUAAUCAGGACUUGAAUUUUAUGGAACAGUGAUAUUGUGAAUGGUGGAAAUUGGAAAGAUGCGCCAGCAUCUAUGCUACCAUCAAUUAAGCGACUCAUCGCAAACGGCGUAAGAACAUGGUUAUACAGGCAAGGACACAAAACAUUGCAGAAUUUUUGAAAUGCUAACCUUUAUAAGUCGCAGGAUGAAUCUGAAAACUACUCUUUUGCAGUGGCGACAUUGAUUCGGUCUGUCCGGUUACUUCGACACAGUACUCACUAGACAUUCUUGGACUUCCCAUAGAGGCAUCUUGGCGGCCAUGGUACAGCGACAUUGAAGAGGUACAACGCUCUUCGCUGCACUCUAUCAAUAAACAUUCAUGCUCUACCUAGUAAGACUACAUCAGGUUCCAAAAUAGGCACCAGAAUUCGAAAACUUUUGUUGUAUGAUUUAAGCAGUAUAUUCUGUAACAUUACAGAAUACUCCUUUCUUAAAUUAUCUAAAUUUUUUACCAAACCUGAUAGAUUUAUUAUCCGAAACCAGAAACAAAGAAAAGUCGAGAUUCUAAACUUGAAAAAAAAAUUUUAAGUUCAACUGCGCACUUCAAAAUGCGCAGUAUUUUAGUUAAGAUAUGUAAGUUCCUUUUCUCCUUUUAAUUGCAGGUCGGCGGCUACGUUGUCGGAUACAAAGGCCUAGUGUUUGCGACAGUCAGAGGAGCCGGUCACAUGGUUCCACGCUACCAACCAAAGAGAGCACUAACCUUGUUCUCGUCAUUCCUUCAAGGGAAACUUCCCCCGGAAGACGUAUCGAUAAAUUGAACAUCGGUUCUCCUUGUUCGCUUCCCAACCAAGAUCACAAUGUGGGUCAUUGUGUCAUUUAUUUUUCUUUUGGGGUGAUAAUGUAUGGUGAACUAAGAAAAUGCUAAAGAAUAAAAGUUUGAAAAUGUUAGUUUUGACAAUUAUGUAUCGGAACAAAAGUCCGAAAAUUUGCGUCAGAUGUAAGAGUUCUUAUUCAACAUGAGUAGUAAAACUCAUAUGUUUAGCUCUAUAAUUUCAGUGUAAGAUGUUGUAAUUAGGCCAAAUGUUCCUAUUUGACCCAGGAACAUUUAGCAACAGCACAUGCUAUGAUUCAAUAUCAGUUCCGCGCCAUCUUUUAUCGAGUAAAGUUGACUCUCCAUGAAUCAAAAAAAAAAUUUGAGUCAGAAUAUGGAAAUGUAAAAGAGUGCCUUGAUCCAUUGAUGUUGACCAAGAAUACAACAUUGUGCUCGAGAUGAGAUACUCGCAAUGUUCUGUUUCGUGAUUAAAAUUUAGAAAACAAGUGUCUGUUUAUCCAAAUCAAACAGUGACUCCUAAUGAUAGAUUCGCAUUGUAAUCAGUGAAUUAGUAAUUAGAUAAUUUGCGGCAGUAUAUGCCCACAGUAAGAUACUAUAUUUGAACCAUUAUGAAACUUUGAUGCAUAAAAGAGAAAUAAGGAAAUACGAUUGCUUUAAUAAAUUUUAUCCACACCCUACAAAGAGUAGAGUCGGUGGUGAAACAGCUACUGUUGCCGAAUUCUUCAGAAGGUCUCUGACCGCAAAGCCCGGUAACGAAGGGGCUUACGCCGCCGACUUUGUGCAAAAUCGGUGGCAACCGUCGCAUAGAUAUAAUACGGCGACGAGACUCCAAAACGUCGCCGACUUCUAGCUUUGGAUUCUAAUAUGGGAUCCGUGUCCGAAUGGGGUUCGAAACCUAUCCAUUUGGAUUUACUAAUUCCUCAAUAAGUCGAAAAUUAUCCAUGGAUCUGAUGCUAAAUUUUUUGAUUUUUUUUGUUUUUGUUUUUUUUUUUCCCAGUGACAUGACUUUUUUCGGGUUAGGAUUUUAUCGGGUUUCGGGUUCAACCUUCUUUUUGCUCGUAUCGAUUUCAUCUCCCUCUUUCUCCUAUCGCCUCUACGGCCACUCCCCGUCGACACCGCCACUUCAUUGUUUCUAGGGUUUAUGCUUCUCUCUCUUCCUCCCACCGACAUGAACCCCCUGUAAUCCCCAUUAACAUAAACCCUAGCCCUAACUCCCCCUCCUCCUCCUCCUCCUCCUCCUCCUCGCUCUCCUUCCGUAUCAGCAACCCCUCCUCCUUGGUACUCCACCACCUCCAACCAUGCCGAAGGUCUACGGCACCGGAAUCUACGACUUUCGCCGCCACCGCGUCGCCGAGUACCCCGUCGAGCUCGUCGGCGGCGCCAGGGAGGAGCCGCCGCCGGCGGAGAAGCAGCCGGAUCAGCGCCCCGGCGGCGCCGUCUCCGGCUCCAUCACCCUCGUCGAGAUACAGCGCGACCGCCUCACGAAGAUCGCCGCCGCCAACUGGGGCAAGUCCUCCGGGGGCCGGAACUUCGACCCCGAGCUCGUGAGGGAGAUCUACGAGACCGAGCUUAGGGUUUCGGGCACCGGGCGUAAGACGGUCCCUCUCCAUAGGGUCAUGAUCCUAGAAGUGAGCCAGUACUUGGAGAACUAUCUCUGGCCUAAUUUCGAUCCCGAGACCGCCACCUUCGAGCACGUCAUGUCGAUGAUUCUCAUGGUUAAUGAGAAGGUAUAUGUUUGGGAUGACGAUGGUGUUGAUUUGCAUGUGUGUAGGAGUAAUUUGAAAAUUUUGCUGUUUUAUUGAUUUGUUCACUGUUUCGUUUUGAUUGUGAAGUUUCGGGAGAAUGUAGCUGCGUGGAUUUGCUUCUACGACCGGAAGGAGGCAUUCAAAGGGUUCUUAUUGCGGGUCCUUCGGCUCAGAGAAGAGGUUCGGUGUGUUGACUCCUUUGCUAUAUGUUGAUUCGGAUGUUUGAAUAGAGAAAUCAAAAUUACAUGGGAGCAUUUUGCUCUUUUACUGUCUCUUGUACAUAUUGUCCUGUAUGUUUGGUGGGUUUACUCCUUUGCUUUAUGUUGAUUCGGAUGUUUGAAUAGAGAAAUCAAAAUUAUAUGGGAGCAUUUUGCUCUUUUACUAUCUCUUGUGCAUAUUUCUCCUGUAUGUAUAUGCUGUGGCUGUGUGAUAUGACUAUAUGUAGUUGAGCUUUUGGUUUUGAAAAUAUUCUGCUUCUUGGUCAUUUAUGUCCUUGAACUUUUGUUUUAUCCACUGUAGGUUCUAUUUUCCUUUUCUUUAGAAAAUUGCAAAUCUGUCACUUUUUUAUUUAUUUAUUUUUUUUACCGCUUAACACUUGAUUGCAUUUUUGUCAUGUUUUUUGUAGGAAAGAACUUUAAGCAUGGCAGAGAAGACGAAUUACCUACUUUUCUUGAUAAAUGCCUUCCAGGUAUGUCAACAAUACUGAUCGAAUCACUAAAUAAUGGUAAAACUGAUGUUCGUUUGGUAAAAGUGUUACUUCAUAUUUUUUAUUUUGUCAAACUGUCGAGCUUUCACUCUUUGCUUUGCUGUUUUCAAUUGAUACACAAGUUUUUUUUUUGUUGCAGAGUCUGGAGGAUGAGAUUGUUAGUGAAACUGUUCUCCAGUUAGUAAGCCUCCGGUUGUGGCACAGUCUCUCGUUUGGUCGAUUUCAGGUGACAUUUGCAUCAUUUGCUCUGUAGCUAGUCUUAGUCAAUUUGCUCUAGCUAUUUCUAGAUGGCUUAUCUAUUUGUUUCAAAAUUUCAACAGAUGGAGUUAUGCCAAAAUCCACAUUUAAUUAAGAAAUGGAAAAAGAUGACCAAGAAAGAAGCAAAAGCCAAGAAAGGCGGUCAAGUAGUUGACCCUUCAAAGGUCCUUGAAGUAAAGUUCCUAAGGGAUCUAAUUGACGAGUUUUUAGAGGUAUCCACUCCAUAGGCUUUUUCUGACGAGUACAUUUAAAUUUUAUGUUGAUGUCCUUUUGCUGAAUUCUUUUUCCUGGCAUGCGAUGUCAGAUUCUUGAUUCCAGUGUCAUCCUAUUGAAGCUUGAUGAUAAUGAAGGAAACCAACCCGGUGAUUCAUCUUCUGAGCAAGUUGACGAUUCUUGUGUUCUAUAUUGCGAGAGAUUUACUGAAUUCUUGAUUGAUUUGUUGAGCCAACUGCCAACUAGGAGGUAGCUACAUAACUUUUGUUGUUUAUAACUAUGUUUAAUUGUAUUAAUUAUUUCAGAAUUGAAGUAAAAUUCUUAAUUGUUUAUGUUGAUUAGAAAAUAUAUUUGAUCUUUUGAUUGGAAACUUGAAUAGUUUUAUGCUGCAUUUCAGUGGGCCUACCCUCUCAUGCCUGUUGGUUUGCAUUUGAGCUCUUGGAAAUAUCCAUGAUUGAUUUAUUUUCUUUUUUACGUGGCCAUCACACAGAGAAAGCUUUAGCAUGCGAUUUCUGUAGGGAUAUAGCUAUUCUUAUGAACAUGUAGCACCUUAGAUCUAUGGUUGAAUUGCUAUAGUUAUGUAAUUUUCCAGAUGAGGAUCAAUUAGUUUGCUGUUAACGAAAUAUGCAAGGUGUUGUUUUUUUUUCCUUUUUCCUUUUCUUUUGUCAAUAAUGGCAUUAGCAGAGCCUUAGCUUCUGGAAAAUAAGGGCUAUCCUAUGAAAUUUGUUCUCUGUCAUCUCUGCAGCAAUCAGUGUUCUUUGAGAAGAUUUCCUUCCUUUCCUUCUCAUGGUGCCUUCUACUUGAACUAAAUAACCUCUUUUUUCUACUGUACUAAGUUUCAUGUUGCUUUAUGCAGUAGGUUGUUUAUCUAUUGCUUGAUUUUGCAUAAUAAUGUUGCUUGCAUAGGCAUGUUGUUUUCCAAUUUGCUUUAUUAAGUGUUCAGCGACACCUUUGCAUGGGAACUUGAUUUUGCAUAAUAAUGUUCCUUGCAUAGGCAUAUUGUCUUCCAAUUUUCUUUAUUAAGUGUUCAGCGACGCCUUUGCAUGGGAACAUGUUAACAUUGUUGUCAGUAUUGGUAUGCUCAAGUAUAUUUUUUUAUGUGCUAUUCAGUAUGGAGUCAGUAUUUUGUGCUUUUCCUGUAUUAUUCUUUAUCUUUUUAAGCCCUUGUUACGUUUUCAUUGUCUUCUAACAAGUGGAUCUCCUGGUAUUUGUGACCAUUAAAAUAUGUUAUCCAUGAUUUGCAGAUUCUUAAAGCCUGUAAUUGCUGACGCUGCUGUUGUUGCUAAAUGUCACUUAAGUGCACUUUACACGCAUGAAAAGGGACGCCUUUUUGCUCAGCUGGUGGACCUUCUACAAUUUUAUGAAGGUUUUGAGAUUGAUGAUCAUUUUGGAACACAACUUAAUGAUGAUGAUAUUUUGCUUGCUCAUUACUCUCGUCUUCAAGCUUUUCAACUAUUGGCAUUUAAACAAGUACCUAAGGUGUGUCCAGCUGGUCUUUGUCACGCUUGCUCUCAAUAUCCGAAUUUCAAUACCUCCAUAUUUUUAAUAGAAUACUUAUUUUAUUUUUCUAUUACUAUAGUUGCGAGAUUUUGCUUUGUGCAAUAUUGGUUCAAUCCACAAGCGUGCUGAUUUAUCCAAGAAGUUAUCAGUUUUAUCAGACGAUGAACUGCGGGAGUUGGUGUGCAAUAAGGUGGGUAACACCAAAUAUGUUAAUGGCUUAAUUCUGUUGAUUGAUUGUUCACCCUUUUUCUUCUUUUCUCUUGCAAAGUUUUCUCUUUUCUCUUGCAAAGUUUUCAGUGACUCGAAUUUGAUUUAUCAUAGUGAUACCAAGUUGUAUUGGUGUUUACUUGUCAUCUUUUCCAGUGUUUUAUUUGUUUUAGCCAAAUCAAUAUAAUUCAUAGUUUAUUGUAUAUGAAUCACGAAAAUUGUUAUGAAAUCUGUGACUUGAAGUUAAGUAGAAAAGCAACACAUUCUGUGUUCUGUUUUUUACUAUGAGAUGGAAGUUCUACUAUUUUAAGAGUCAGAAAUUUUAUCCAAAGAGAAGACCUUUGCAGUAAUGUACACACAUAUAUAUUUUCACCAUGUUCUUGUGGUAUACUGGUUUGUAUUGCAUCAGUCAACUGCAUUAAUUGAAAGCAAUAUUUACUUAUUCUUUUGGAGUCUAUCAGAGCUUAUCUACAUGUUUGGAACCAUUUUUAUCAAACUUUUCCUUUUCUUGCUGCUAACCUUUUUCAUCAUUAACAGCUUAAACUAGUUUCAGAUGACGAUCCAGGCAGUACAAGGCGUGAUUUCCUCAUUGAGGUGGUAGUCUCCUUCUUUGAGAAGCGCCAGUCCCAAAAAGAAGCCAUAAAUGCGCUCCCUCUUUACCCAAACGAACAGAUAAUGUGGGAUGAGAGCGUCGUCCCAAGUAUCAACUACUCCGGCGAGGGCUGCCUCGCGCUCCCUAAACUCAACCUCCAGUUCCUAACCCUCCAUGAUUAUUUACUUCGAAACUUCAAUCUCUUCCGCCUUGAAUCCACAUACGAAAUCCGUGAGGAUAUCCAAGAAGCCGUUCCUCACCUCCUUGCAUACAUCAAUAAUGAGGGAGAAACUGCUUUUCGUGGUUGGUCAAGAAUGGCUGUGCCAAUCAAGCAGUUCAAGAUCGCCGAAGUGAAGCAGCCGAACGUUGGAGAAGUCAAGCCGUCAUCGGUAACAGCUGAAGUCACUUUCAGCAUAACGAGUUACAGAGCGCAGGUAAGAUCAGAAUGGGAUGCUCUGAAAGAACACGAUGUCUUGUUUUUAUUGUCGAUUCGCCCAUCUUUUGAGCCAUUAAGCCCAGAAGAAGCCGCUAAAUCAACUGUGCCUGAAAGACUCGGACUUCAGUAUGUACGCGGAUGCGAAGUAAUUGAGAUCCGCGAUGAAGAAGGAGUACUUAUGAAUGAUUUUACUGGAAGAAUUAAAAGAGAUGAAUGGAAGCCCCCUAAAGGUGACAUCCGUACUGUUACUGUUGCCCUAGAUACAGCACAGUACCACAUUGAUGAUACUGAGAAAGCUGAAAAAGGAGGUGAAGAUGUAUAUAGAACAUUCAACAUUUUAAUGAGGAGGAAACCCAAGGAGAAUAAUUUUAAAGCUAUUUUAGAAUCUAUACGUGACCUUAUGAAUGAAACAUGCAUAGUUCCUGAGUGGUUGCACAACAUAUUUUUGGGUUACGGAAAUCCAUCUGCUGCACAGUGGACUAACAUGCCGGACCUUUUGGACAUGAUAGACUUCAAGGACACUUUUCUUGAUGCUGAUCAUCUAAGAGAAAGCUUUCCGAAUUAUGAGGUGAAACUUUAUAUUGCAUCAAAUUUUACUUCUUGUUUUGUUGAGCUCCUGAAAAGAACUUCCUUAUUGAGAAGCGGAAGUUUGAUAAUUUCAAUAAAACAUCUGAAGCUUCUGAUUGAAGGCCCAAACUAAGCUUUUUGGGCCCUAACUUCCAAAUGCUUUGAUUUGAAAUUUCUGCUUCUUGCUUUAGCUGGGAGCCAUUAGGGCUUCUUUGAACAUCACCACUCAAACAUCGCUCUAGUCUGGCUAAUCAGGCCCUUAAUUGUUUUUCUACGUUUAAUAUGAGUUUCUAACAGUUUUCUUUUAUAUGUAGGUUUCCUUUGUCAAUCCAGAUGGUACCGAGAGCCUGCACCCUAAACCUCCUUUCCGGAUUAGGCUUCCCAAAUCAAUGAAAGGAAAUUCUCUUGCUCUUCCAGGCAGUAUUAAGUCAAGUGACAUAAAUAUUAUGGAUGAGAAAAAGGCUGAUCAAAGCUCCCAAGAGGAAAAGCUGAUAGUUGAGGCAUAUCUUCCUGCUGAUCCAGGCCCGUAUCCUCAAGAUAAACCGAAGCAAAACACAGUCAGAUUUACUCCUACUCAGGUACUUGGCAAAAUUUCUUUUCAUUGUCCGCUAGUUGAAACACAUGAAUGCAUAUUCUAAAUUUUCUGUAAUGCUAAAAAUCUGUGGACAUGUGGAAAAGCUGGUAGUUGUUCAAGCAUAAAGGCAUCUUUAUGCUUGCUAGGCGUAACUGAAGUUUCCGCAAAGAUGAAAGAUUGAUUUGCACUUCAUGCACCAUUACUAUAAAAUGUUUUUUUUUUUUUUUUUGGGGGUGUUAUUCUACCUAUGCAGCUAGGCCUAAAAUGGAUGAUGGUUAUCAAUCUGGGAAGAAAUUUCCCUAACAACUUGUGAUUUUAUGCUGAUCAUGUCCUUCUGUUUUCCAGAUUGGAGCUAUUAUUUCGGGAAUUCAGCCUGGGUUAACUAUGGUUGUUGGACCACCUGGUACAGGGAAGACUGAUACAGCAGUGCAGAUUUUGAAUGUUCUCUAUCAUAAUUGCCCUUCCCAGAGAACACUAAUCAUCACGCAUUCGAACCAGGCUUUAAAUGAUCUUUUUGAGAAAAUAAUGCAGGUAACAUCAUUUUAUAGUAAUAUGCUAAUGUUAUUUCUUUUCUAUUACUAUAUUCUUUUACUUCAUGAGUAGUUUUUUCCUCCUCUACUUGAUCUUUAUAUUUCCCUUUUAUCGCCAAUUCAGUGUCACUCAUUUUAAUCCUGUAUUCUCUUUUCAGAGAGACGUACCUGCCAGAUACCUCCUCCGCCUCGGUCAAGGAGAACAGGAGCUUGCAACUGAUCUUGAUUUCAGCCGACAGGGCCGCGUGAAUGCCAUGCUUGUCCGACGAUUAGAACUCCUUAGUGAAGUUGAAAGACUUGCCAGAUCACUUCACUUACCCGAAGAUGUAGGCUACACUUGUGAAACUGCUGGAUACUUUUGGCUGCUUCAUGUCUACUCCCGUUGGGAACAAUUUCUUGUUGCCUGUGCCCAAAAUCAAGAUAAACCAACUUUCGUUAAAGACCGAUUCCCAUUUUCGGAAUUUUUCGCAAACACUCCCCAACCAGUUUUCACUGGUGAAUCAUUCAAGAAAGACAUGCAUGCGGCACAAGGGUGUUUCCGACACCUGUCUACUAUGUUUCAAGAGCUUGAAGAGUGCAGGGCUUUUGAGUUGCUUAAAUCAACAGCUGAUCGGGCCAAUUAUUUAAUGACUAAACAAGCCAAGAUUGUUGCGAUGACCUGCACUCAUGCUGCUCUAAAAAGGAGGGACUUUCUUCAGUUGGGCUUUAAGUAUGACAAUUUGCUUAUGGAGGAAAGCGCACAAAUAUUAGAAAUCGAGACUUUUAUACCCAUGUUGUUACAGAGGCAGGAGGAUGGUUACGCUCGGCUAAAACGAUGUAUAUUAAUUGGGGAUCAUCAUCAGUUGCCCCCUGUUGUGAAAAACAUGGCUUUUCAGAAGUAUAGUCAUAUGGAUCAAAGCUUGUUCACUAGGUUCGUUCGUCUCGGUGUGCCUUAUAUUGAACUGAAUGCACAGGGUCGAGCUCGACCAAGUAUAGCCAAGCUUUAUAACUGGCGAUACAGGGAGUUGGGGGAUCUUCCUUAUGUUCUUCAAGAGCCUAUUUUCCACAAGGCUAAUGCUGGGUUCUCUUAUGAGUAUCAGCUGAUAGAUGUUCCUGAUUAUCUUGGAAAGGGUGAGACUGCUCCUUCUCCCUGGUUCUAUCAGAAUGUAGGAGAGGCCGAAUACGUUGUGAGUGUUUACAUGUACAUGCGCUCAAUUGGGUAUCCCGCCAGCAGGAUCUCUAUUUUGACAACAUACAAUGGCCAAAAGCUGCUUAUCCGUGAUGUUGUGAAUAGGCGGUGCAAAGCAUAUGGGAUCGAACCACCUAGCAAGGUAUGCUUAAACAUGAUGUGCCUGAUUGGCUUGGCUUCUAUAGUGACUUCUUUACUCCAGAAGGCAAAAGCUUUAGGAGCCAGGUGCUUGGCAAGCAAAGGUAUAGGAGUUUUUCCUUUGUUGUGAAGCUACAAAGGAAGAAGCCCCAAUCUGAAGCUUUUGCUUUUUGAAAGUUAUCAGUGCUUCUUUAAGAAGCUUUAGGACAGGCAGCUUUUCUGCAGAAGCUAUUACUUUUUUGUAUCCUUAAACACAUGCCUCUAUGCCCAAUAAUAUUCACUUUUUUUGCUCUUUUAUUUAAACCGAUUUAAUUGCACAAUCUAUUUCCGAACAGGUGGCAACAGUCGAUAAGUUCCAAGGCCAACAAAAUGAUUUCAUCCUUCUGUCUCUUGUCCGAACCCGAUUUGUGGGCCAUCUCCGUGAUGUCAGGAGACUUGUCGUUGCAAUGUCUCGUGCACGUUUGGGCCUUUACAUAUUCUGCCGGCGUUCACUGUACGAGCAAUGCUAUGAGCUGCAGCCGACGUUUCAGCUUCUGCUUCAGAGACCGGAUCAACUGUGUCUGAAUCUAGACGAAACCACUCCAUUCACAGAACGCCUGGUUGGAGACACAGGGAAUGUUCAUGUGAUAACUGGGGUCCAGGAUAUGGAGCAGUUAGUUAAUUUCAGGAUGCAUCAGCUUUACCAGGUAUGUUAUCUUUCCAACUUAUGAAAAACAAGGAUGCAUUUAUCUCCCAGGAGGCAUUCACAUAUAUGCCCCUAUGAAAUUAUCUUCCAUAUGGAGUCUGAUUUUUCAUGCAUUCCCUUCAGAAACUAAGGUUUGUACACAUUACCAUUAUCGUUACAAAAUAAUUCCUCUAAGAAAGUAGAACCAACUUUACUACAAAUUGUUUGAGUCCCUAACUUAAGAUAAAGCUUUUUUUUUUUUAAAGAAGCUGCCUUUAAUGGGGUAUACAUGAAAAUUCCAAGUGUAGAUGAACUGAUUUUGCUGGGUUAUAGAUGUGCAAGCCCUUGAUUUGUAUGACUUUUGUGUCACUUGGCAGCAACCCGACAUGUGGCUAAUUCAUAUGACAUCUUCUUUGCUACAGAUGCAAGUCAUGAACCAACACGCCUCUUUCGAGAGAUCUUCAAAUGCAAAUGGAUCUCAAAUUUUGCCCUCUACUGACCGUGUAGAGGAUACCGAUAUGCCUCUUGCAAAUGGUGAAUCUGAUAACGGGCCACCCGAAAUUAGUCGAAAUGAUGCAGAGAUGAUGGAACAAUAAUGAUGAAGACAAUGGUUCCGCAAAUUCUUUGAUAUAACAUGAAAGGAGGCUGUGAACUCUUCUCGAGUGCCCUGUGUACAAGGAGUCCACUACCUAAGGACGUAAAUAGCCAAUUACUAAGGACAUAAAGAGCCAAUUACUAAUGCAUUGAAAAAUAUCACACUAUGGGUACUUUAGUAGAGGUGAUUGUCCCUCCAAAUGUGUAAGGGGAUGUUACAAUUCUGGCAUAUAGUGAUUGAAGAAGAGCAUCGGCCUCUUGUAUUAUUUUAGCACCUGGAGGUUUACAACGGGAACGAUUAAGAGUAAAAUAUGCAGUCUUUCUGACGAGCUUGCAUUGUAAGUUCACCUCCAUAGAAGCUGCUUCAGUUUAUGGCUUCUCAUUCAGCUUCCCACUUGUUUUAUCACUAUCACUGGAGCGAAAUUGGUGAAGGGUGCAUUUUACAGCCAAAAGGUGGAAACCUUUAUUGUUUUCAUGGUGAAAUUUAACGUCGGAUUAGCAAAUGUGACUUGGUGGUUUUUUGUAGUACUUGUAAUAUAUGUAUCCUGCUUAUGGAGAGGAAUAUUUAGAGCAAAUAGCUUCUUUUGCAUAUAAUAAAACAUCUACUCUGAAAUGAAGCCAUUAUGUGCUGGAUGUUGUUCGACUGUAGGAUGUGUGCCGUCUUUUCUCUGAAGAAGCUUUAUUGCUGUUUCUCAGUCUCGAUGUGAAAUGCUAAGAGCCUGUGCUUCUGAUUCUACUGUAGUAACAAUACGAUACGAGUAUUUUUAAUAUAAUGCUUUUGUAAUAAGUUGUUUAACCGUUGCUUAAUCAUGUAAUGCUGCACCAUCCUGCAGAGUCAUAUAGGUUGAAUUUGUUUGCUUCUUGAAAGGGUAAAUGGAAAGAAGCAAGCAUGAGUUUGAAAUGAUCAAGCAGGAGUGGAUGUAAGAUCAAGAUAUGAUCAUACAAGGUGUGUAUUGUCCUUUCAAAUAAACUGGUUGAGAGAAUAGUGACCAAAAUUUGCACUCUCAGGUGCAGCUCUAUGUUCCAUGUUUCCUGCAUUUAUUUUACCAUCAAUAUGGACUUUUUAGAAUACCGCUGAUGUGCUCGCAAUUUCGAUGCUGAUAUUUCAUACAUAAAUGAAACUUCAACAAUAAGGACUCGCCCAUUGGCAAGAUUAGGAGUGCCUGUAAAAUGUCCAAACCAGUUACACUCCAAGUCCUCAGACAUCUACAAAACAUACUUGGUUUCAUUUUGUCGCGGUCGCGUACAAAAUAGGUUGGUACGUAGUAAGGUGUAGACUCAUUGAUUGCAUAGCUGCUGCGUUUUAUGGCAACUCCUUUUAUUAUUCUUCUAUUUAUUCCCUCAACUUUUCCCAUUUAUUCCACCCCUAUAUCUCAGUCCAAAUGUGCAGCAUAAGUUUGGGACUCUACGCGAACUUUAUAGUCUUCUUGUCCUACAUGUAGUCGAGAGGUUGCGUCAACUCCUCUGUUUUUUUUAACCCCCCUAUUAUGUGACUUAGCUUGAUGCAAGAAUAUUCCAGGUCCGGAGCCAAAACAGAGCACUGGUGAGUCACAGACUCAAAGUUUGCUUUGGCCAAUGCCCAUGUUCGGCCUGGGCUCCCGUGCCGUCAGCCGCCGCGGUUUACUAUAUACUCUGUAUCGCCUGCCGCCGCGGUCGCCAAUAGCUUGGAAAUAGUUUUUCCGCGGAUGGCAGUGUUCUACGUGCGCUUUAAAAUUAAUGAGAACAUAAUCUAGCGUAAUAUCUGAGUUACCGGUGCUUAUCGCGUUUUGCACGGCAUUCACCGGCCGGUCAUUUGUUAGUACGUUCUUCAACUCUAAUAUCGAUUUGUGGCCACAAUCACUUUCCCUUGCAUCCCACGCCCACUGAUGGUCAGCGGACUUAAAUCCUCACACCAUACUGGGUCUGCUUGAACGCAUGAAUAUUUUUUUUUUUUACACAUUUUUUUACAUUUAUUUAUUCAUGGAGAUAAAUUAUAGUAAUUGGUCGAAUGGGAACACGAAAAGAUGCGAAUGAUUACACAGUCUUAGUUAUUUUUCUCAUAAUAACCAUAAAUUAUGUAGCAGGUGGAAUUGUCGUGAAAAAUUGCGAUAACGAAUCAAACUCCUAAAUUGCAAUCACAAAACAAAGGAAGUCCCUAUACCUCACAAGCUGAAAUGUGGCUAAAUAUAUUCCUCCACAUAGAAGAGCAUAGAAAAGUAGCAUUCUCUUCUCCUUAUUAUGUUGCUUUUUCUUUGCAUAACUUAAUUAUUAAGGGCCCAUGCAAUCUCCUUUUCAAUUAACAGGAUUUUUGGUGGUCAGCAAGAGACUAAAAUGGCUGCUAAGGAAUAAUUUGGGACUCCCCUCAUCUUCUUCCAACUCUUUUUUAUACGAAAAAAAAAAGACUUUCGACUUUUAUAUUAUUCACCGUUCAAUAUAAACUAUUAAAAUACUGAAACGAACGAUUAUUUCUUCUGAUACCACAGCAAUAGUACCGAAUAGUAAGCUAUUUGAACUUUUUUCUAUUUUAAUUAAGUUCACAUCUUAUGCAUACCAAAAAGCUCAAGCGACAGCGUCGAAUCUAAAACAUUGAAAAUACUAUUCUCUGACAACUUAAAUUUUUAUAUACGGACGAUUGGUAAAGAGAAAAUAAGGCUCAAAAGAUUCUAGAAAUUAUGGGUAGCACAUCCAAGCUGAUCUCUUUGGAUCUGAUAAUUACAUUUAAGUUGGGAAUUUGACCAAAAAAAAUGUCGUACAAUAAUAGCAAGCCACCAACGUGUGAAAUGUGAAAUGUAUAAUUUCCAUAAAGGACUAGUCACUUAUUCAAAGUCACAUUGCGCUUUGACAAGGACUUAAUUGGUCCCCUGUUUGUCCCCAAGUUAACAACCAAUUUUGUUCAUAAGAGUAAACUUGUAUCGAAGUAUUCACUUCAGAUGAAAUUGUGUAAUAAGUAGUUAUUAAUAUAAUAACAUAAAAACAUGCUAAAUUGGUUAGAUCAAUCAAAGGCAACUUGGCUACUUUAGAUUAAAAAAAAAAGAAAAAAAGAAAAAAAUGUAUAGAACUUACCUGAAUUAUAGUCCAUUUUUUCGAUUUUAAUGCCCACUCUUUUAGUUUGUUUUAUUUAAAGUCAUUUAACAGCUCUUUCAAUACAAAAUUUAAGUUAGUUUUUAAUAAAUUUACAUAUAUAUAUAUAUGAAUUGCAUAAAGUAUGUUAAAAUUUGAAGUUAUAAAGAGUCAUUAACCGGCUAAGAUUAAAUAAAUUAAAAUAUUGGGUUAGCAAAAUUAAAAUUUUUAUAGCUUAAGUAGUCAGCCCAAAUGAGUGAUAUUAUGCGGUAAUAUUGAUUGAUUACUCUUUUACCUGAAAAAGUUUUAGAAGUUGAUUUUUGGAACAUUUAUAAAAGUUUUUUUAGAUCUCAAAAGCAAAAGCUUGGGUCAAAUCAAUUGCUUAUAACUCUUGUUCUUGUUUGGUCCAACUUUUCUUUUUUCUUUUUUUUUUCUUUCUUUAUAGUAGAGCAUUGGACAAAUUGAAUAUUUUUGAGCUUUUAAUAUAGAAAAAUAAUUCUGAAACUUAUAAAGCAACAGAAGCUCUAGCUCAAAAUUUCUAAUUUAGCUAUUUAAAUUCUUCCAUUAAUAGAAGUAGCUAUUUAAAUUUUCUAAAACUAGAUUCUCAAUUUAGAGAAUAAAAUAUGGACUUUUUUUUUGAGGAAGGUAAUUUAUCUUGGUAAUUAAUUAAACGCUUUUUUUUUUUUUUUUUUAAUGUUUCACAGCUAGUGUACAAGGUACAAAAAUUAAGUCAAUGGUUGCAUACAUGUAUUUCACCAAUCAAUUAAAGCACUGCUUUGACCAGUCAAUGGUGACUCACCGGUCAAUUUGGGUUCGUACGUGGACCACAUUUUGGUUGUUGGUUCGAUCCAUUUGAUGCGACGCGGUCCAACGAAUUAGCGACCGCGUGGAAUUCGUGCACCACGUCAUCCGUGGACCAUAAAGAAAACCAUGGAUCCCCCCCUAUCACCCUACUUUUUGUUGAAUACACCUAUAUACUAUAUAUAAAAGAGUAAUUUUUUUUAAAAAAAAUGCACCAAAAAUUUUUAACUAUUAAUAUCAAAAUUUAAUUCUCUCAUAGCUUAAAUUUUUAGAAAUAUAAUUGAUAUUUUUAUUAUUUAAUAUAGUACCAAAAUAUGAGUGAUUUUUUGGGUCCUGCCUUUUAUUUAAAAUAAGUUUAACUCUGAUGAUUAAUUACUUAUAGUGAGUUUUAUCAGAGAGAUGUAUUUAAAUAACUUUGAGGUAAAUUAUAUAGGAUGUAGGCAUAGGAUUAAAUAAAUUAAUCUCAGUAUAUAUGUUCAAUGAUAUGGUUGCAACAAACAUGUUCAUAGUUCAACUAAUCUAACCUUCCUGGGAUGGGGAGAUAGGAAAAGAAGUUGUAAAGAGAUUUUGCUAUCUUAAUUUUUUUAUUGGUAAAAUUCCAUGUUAGAGAGAGAGAGAGAGAGAGAGAGAGAGAGAGAGAGAGAGAGAGAGGAAAAAGAGUUAUAAAAACCUUUGGCUUUCUUAAUUUUUUAUUGGUAAAAUUCCACAUGAGAGAGAGAGAGAGAGAGAGAGAGAGAGAGAGAGAGAGAGAGGGUGUGUGUGUGUGUGUGUGUGUGUGUGUGUUAUGCUGAUUGUAAUGUGAGCACUAUUGUU
This 48450-nucleotide long non-coding RNA is filed under the name Ananas comosus (pineapple). RNAcentral's name for it is "long non-coding RNA (ACOM_LNC000085)". Lineage: Eukaryota; Viridiplantae; Streptophyta; Magnoliopsida; Poales; Bromeliaceae. The record is from RNAcentral.